UGUUAGUACAAUGCUAAGCAUCUUUUUGCCGUUGAAUCUACCUGCCAGGCAAUUCUUGGCACUGAAAACAGAGAUGGUGCAUUCUAGAUGAAUAUGCACAAGGCACAACUGCUCAUGAUGCAAAAUCUGAGAAACUGAGAUGGUGCACCCAUUCUUUCAUUGCUCAUCGACCUCCUGCGGACAGACCAGUGGCAUUUAAAUUGCUAGGUUUCCUUCCCUUCUUGUGGGCUAGGUUUUUUCUGUUACGAUUUUCUUUUCUUUGGCGGAGUGUGUGACAUCAAUUUGGUGUAAAUAACUCUUUUUCAAAAAGUAAAAAUCGGCACAUGUGAAAUUUAUUUGUUGCAUUUUAUGGAGUCCUCAAAGGUAAAUUCUGUCAAUAUAUGCUUAUGCAUAGGCUGAGAAUCUGCUCAUACGAAGAAGCAGAUGAUGUGUAAAUAUGUAGAUAGAUGCCGAUAUUUUGUGGUGUUGAUAAUCGUAAACAUCUUUGGCUUUUGCGAAUCUUAAAAUGGUGUUAUAAGAAAGCAAAUUGUUGUCUAUUUUUUGAAUAUUUUUCAUACACUACUUCCAGCUGUGCCAGGGAGAAAACUGAAAUGCUGUUACCUUGGAAAUUUCUACCGGAGGAAGCAUUGUAAAUUUCAGUUUUACCAGAAAAGCAAUCCCUCUGCCUCAACCUAUUCAUUUUCUUUUUUAUUUAUUUUUAAUCCUUUUUUUUUUAAUUGAGCGAAAAGUGCAAUACCAUUUUUGCGCAUAAAAUUACCUGUAAAUUCGUACAAGAUUACCCAAGACAAACACAAGAUACUAAAAGAUAAAUUUAAUUUACUCAGGUCAUUAAUUUUUGCUUUAAAAAAUUAUUCACGGCUGUAUGUCACCGCCUCCACCUAUCCUCCACAUUCCCCACUCCAUCUGUCACGUGUAACACAACAAACCCUUUUCUUUUUUUUUCCUAUUAUUUACAGUUAUAAAGCACUUUCCAGUUAUAAAGCACGAAAGGACAAAGGAGGGGGGUUUUUUUUUUUUUUUUCCUCCAAGCGAAAAGGAUAAAGCAAAGUCAGCAGUACUACGGAGUACGGAGUACGGAGUACGGACACUUGUUGACAAUUAACAGCUCAACACUGUCUUACUCGGAAAUAUCCGUUUUCCAGCUGAAAAAUAUAAAUUAAAGUACACGGAAAAAUCCAUUUGUCGAGCUGAAAAAGAUACAUAAAAGAGAAACCUGUUUGUUGUAUUAUUGUCUGCAAAACGGUAAACACAAAAACAAACAGAGAGAAGAAAAAUUUUUAACAGCGCAAUGAGAAAACAAUUGAGCGAGUUAUUGAAUUCGAAGGACUUCGAUGAUGGUCAGAAAAUUGGGUCGGAGAAGACCUUGAGACGAUGGAGAUCUGCCUGCAAUGGCCGUAGAAGCUUCCAUAAGCUCGCUGGUCUCGACGAGCAUCUCAAAUUACAGGUGAAUUAUCCCUUUUAUUUAUUUUUUUUAAUUAUUAGUUAACUUAUGAUUCAAGUUAAUUUGGGUUAGCUUUAUUGAUUUAUUUAAAUUAUAUAAGUAAUUUUUGUAUUCACUUAUUUAGUUCUUUGCCUAAUUGCGUUGGGGUUAAUGCCUAAUGGGAAACUUUAAAAUCAACACUCAAGAAUUUAAAUGCAGAGUCAAGAGUAAAGGUGAAUAGUACUAAAUGAUUGAAUUUACGAUACCAAACUAAAGGCUUUCUGUGUGUUAUAGGACCAAGUUAGAGUUUUCUAUAUAUGUUGUUCAAAAGCUGUACUUCACUUUACUGAAAAUGUGAGCCUGCAGUCAAAUGAAGAUGUGCCAUCAAGUGAAUGCAUUGUGACUGGGGCUGGCACUGAAGCUAGAAGAUUUCAAGAACCCAUUGAUGAUGUUGGAUCCACAAUCGGUGGCCUUGAUGUAAUGAUAAUUGAUACUGAAACUUUUGUAACCUCACUUAAAAUUGAAUUUAGGACACCGAACUAAAUGCCGUCUGUGUGUUACAGGAACAAGUUAGACUUUCACCUGUCGUUCUGAAAGUGGUACUUCACUGUACAGAAAAUCUGAGUCUGCGUUCAAAUGAAGAUGUGCCAUCAAGUGAAUACGUUGUGACCGAGGCUGCCACCGAAGCCGGAAUACUUCAAGAACCCCCCGUUGAUGACGUUGGAUCCACCGUCAAUGGCCUUGAGGUAAUGAUAAUUUAUACUGAAACUUUUAUUCCUCAUUUCAAUUUUCAAAUAUCAAAAUAUGCUCUUUUGUUAUUUGAAAAUCGCUCGAGUAUCCAGUUUUCUGUUUGGAUUUGGAUACAUCGAGGUAAGAAUAUUAAAGUUUUGCAUACAAUUGGCCUCCAAUUUCUGAGUUUAAAAUUUGUAACUUAAUGAAUGACAAUACAAUUCCAUUGAUUGAGAUGUAUAACUGCAUUCUUUGUAUAUUACAGAUUUGUGAGCUACUUGGUAAAUAUAAGAAACGUGCACUUGCUGUGUUUUAUCUUGUGUUGGAAGCAGCAUCCUUUUUACUGGAUAUAUUUGGGAAAAGUAAGAGGAGGAUCCUUCUUGCUGCAUUUCUAUUGUCAGCAUUUGGUUUUGCUAUUACUAUGAGUACGCAUUCUUGGACCGUGAGAAGAAACAUAGCUGCAACCAGAAUGCAUUUACAGAAGCGACUACUUAUGUUGUUGGAAAUGUCUUUCUCUUUGGUCCAGUUGAUUGUUACGCUUAUUUAUUUUAUUCUGGCGGAAUUGGGUGUCAAGAACAAUUUCAAUACAUCUGUUUUCCCACUGGUCUUUGCUAUAAUUGCUGCUGUGUUUACUUUCAAAUAUGAUGGGGAAGUUUCUGAAUCGGGCCUCGACAGUGCGCUUGUGGCCCUAGCUGCUGGUAAUCAGGUAUGAUUGUGAGCACAAUUGUAAUCAUCAAGCUGCACUUGGUGAAUUCGCAUAACUUAUCACCUCUAUGACUAUGAAUUCCUACAAAUAUAAAGAAAACUGCAUGAGACUGUAUGCUUUUGCAAUAUUGUGGAAAGAAGGAAAUAUAAAGAUUGUGAGAUUGCAUUGUGUAAGUCAAUAUAAAGAUUGUGAGGUCUAUAAAAGAUUGCUUUAAUAAUUUGUAUGCAUAAUGCUGGGGUGCCUCUGUAGAUUUGGAAAUCCUCUAUGUAAUUAACGAUUGUUGUGGCAGUAUGGCCAAAUCAGUACAGAUAUCAAAUCUUUGAUAGUUUGCACCUUUUUAGGUUCAUAUGCCAAAUAUUACUGGCAAUGAGGAUCCAGAAGCAAAUGGCUGCAUGCCUAUGUUGGCAGACUUCCGAUGAUUAAUGAAGAUGAUUCUGAGAAACGAGGUCCAUAUGCUUGUUCUUCACUCUGCCUUCAGGCUUACUCUUUCUCUCACACUAUUUACACAAACUCUCUUUUCAGUACCGAAAGCUUUAUAUAUGUUAAUAGAUGAGUUUGUGAGUAAUGUUUCAGUGGUUUAUUUUAGAAGUCUCACAAUUUGAUUUUUGUUUCAUGGUUAGGACCUAGAGGAGGCAUUUGCCCCCAUUUGCUCAUUUGAUUCAGAUUCAAGUUUUGGUCUUAGGUGUUACAAUUUCAAUUACUUUGUAUUCGAGUUGGAUAAACACAUGUAAUUUGGAUUAUACCUACUCAAUAUAUAUGCAUUAUCUUCUCUGAGUAACUUUUUGUUUAUGGAGCUUGUUGAGGGUAUUAAAUGAUGGUGUUAGUAUUUUGGUGUCCAAGUCAUUUGAUGAAAUUCAUGAAACUUUUAUGGCUAACUCUAUGUUACGUUUGAACGUAACAUACAUUCAAUAGAGACAAUAUCAAUAAGUACCCCUAAUUUUUAUGGAAACUACACUAUUUGAAUUAAAAGAAAUACUUUUAAAUCUUAAAGAAGAAAUAAAAGAAAUUAAACAAGAAAUAGGAAAAAUAAAAAUAGAAUUAUCUGUAAUCCAAUUAAGUCAGAAGAAAAACAAAAGAGUAGAAAAAUUUGAAAUAUUAAAAUCUGGAAUAAUUGGAACAAGCUUUAAAGAACCCAUACAAAAACCUCAACCAGGAAGCUAUGAUGACUGGUUCGUAAAGACUCAAUACCCAAAAAUACUAGAAGAAACAGAAAAAUUGAAAGCAGAACUAAAAACUAAAGAAAAAGGUAAAGAAAAACUAGAAAUAAAAGAAACAUCACUUAGUGAUACAGAUUGAUGGAUGAAACAUUAGAAGAAUUAACUGAAAAAUUCAGUGAUAUAAAUCUAAGUGAUUUGGAAGAAUUUGAAAGAGAAUAUUGUAUAAAAAUGAAUGUUGCUGGAGGACCAGAAAUGAAACCUAAUGUAGCAGAACCAAGCCAUAGGUAUGAAACACAUAAAAAGAAAAAUAGACCAUUUUUUGAAUAUUAUCCACCCACCAAAAAUCACCAAUGGAAAAAAGAAUACCAACCUAAUAAUGACCAUUUAAUACCAAUAAGAAAUGCAGGCACAUUUCUAGAUUUAGACUGCAAAACAGAUCCCCGAAAGGCCUUAGUAGAAUGGGGAAUGCAAAUGAAAUUAUUUUUUCUGUUUAAUGGAUCAAGAGAAGAUUGGAAUGUUGAAACAGAAGAAGAAAAAGUAAAUAUAUUUGCUGAUAUUUUAAUAGCAAGCUUUUCAGGAAAUGUAUUUAAUUGGUGGAAAGGAUUAAGUGAGGAUACACAAGGAUUAAUAAAGGAUUCAACCAAAAUAGCUUUAGGAAGAAAUAAAGGAUUAGGAAUUGAAAGAAUAAUUGAAUAUAUUGCUAGUGAAUUCUUAGGAGAAGAUUGGUUACAAAACACAGAAAAUGAAUCAAAACGUGAUAAGUUAGAAGCAAGAAUGAAAUUAAAUUUAACAAUUUGUAAUAUGUGUUUUGUCAAAGAAUAUACUUGUGAAUUUUCUAAAUAUUAUUAUACCCAAUUUAUGAGUCAUGAAGACCAAAAUAUUUAUAAAAAUUUAUACUAUUCGAAACUUCCUUACCCUUGGAAUGGAUAUUUUAUUAAUGAAUAUGAAAAAUAUACUAGUAAUAAUGAAAAUAGACUCCCAGACACAUUAGGAUCUAGAAUAAGAUUUUUAAAUACAAGAUUAAGUGAAAUAUGUAUUCAAAGAAAUCUAAUAAAAAAGAGUAGAAAUAUUACAAUAAUAUGUUGUGAAAAAACAGAAAUGCCUACUCAGUGGGGAUGUUAUACACCUCAUAAACGGCACAGAAAAUCUUACAAAAAAGAAAAAAGAUAUAAAAAAUAUAAUAAUUUUAAACGAAAAUAUAAAAAAGCAGGAAGAAAAUAUUAUAAAAGAAAAUAUAAAAACCAAAGAAAAAUAUUAGAUAAAUCUAAAUGUAAAUGUUGGAAUUGUGGAGAAAUGGGACACAUCAGUACAGAUUGCACAAAAAAGAAAGUUAGGCUUUUAAAAGAAGAUUUUGAAAAUAUAGAAAGUGAUUUAGAAGAAAUAAGUAAUCUCUCAGACUAUGGUGGAAAAGAAGUUUAUAUGGUAGAAAAAUCAGAAGAUGAAUCCGAAUAAAGAAGAAAUAAUGGAAAAUGAAAAAGUAGAAGAAAUAGAAGAAAUAGAAAAAGAAGAAAAUAAAAGUGGAUAUAGUCUUGUAGCCACUUUUAAUAAAGAAAAAUAUAAUAAACUUUUAAAAUUAAAUAUGGAAAAACCAGAAUAUGGAAUAUUACAUAGAUUUAGAGAUCUAUUUAAAAGAAAAAGAAUUAUACUACAUGAAUAUUAUGAACAAGAAAAAGCUGUAACAAUUACACAGGCUGAAGGAAAUAUUAGAUUUAGUUUGCUUAAUAAAAGGACAAUAGACUUAGCAUUAAGAAAAAUAAAAAGUGAAUCAAUCAAAGAAAAAAUUCAAUAUGUAUAUUUGGCAGAAAUCCAAAUCUUAAUAAAAUCCCUUUUCAAAGAAGGAAUAGAUAGCCCCAUAGUUCUAUCAUUACAUGACCAAAGAUUUACAGAUCCUAGCAUAGGACAUUUAGGGACAAUAGAAGGGAAUUUAUGUUACACUAAAUUAUUAUUUACCUGCCACCCUAGAUACUGUGUACAUAUAAAAGAUAAAAAUAUAGAUGAAACAUUAAGUUUACAUUUUAAAUUACUAAAGAAAAAUCUAAUGAAAGAAGGAAAUAGAAUAAUGACAAUACAUUACUCAGCUUUGUAUAGUUUUUGUAAUUCAAAUUAUGGAGAAAUAUAUGGGAAUAAACCUUAUAUAGAAAUAAAUAAGGAUUGUGAAGAUAUAGCAAUGUUUAUAGAACCUGUAAUUCAAGAUUAUAAAAUUCCCAUUAAUUAUGAAUUAAAAAUAGAUGAUAGAAAACCAUUUUUAGAUAAUAAUAAUGAAAACUCUAUAAUUCCUAUAAGUUUUGCAGGAAGAACUCUAAUAAGAGGAAGUUCAACUAGAAGCACUGAUAAACAGAUAGUUAGAUCCAUACCUACUAAUAGUGUAAUAAAAAUACUAGGUCAAUACUUUAAUGGAAUAGACUAUACAACAAAAAUACCUAUGUUAAUAGAUACGGGUACCAGCCAUAAUUAUAUGAACCAUACUAAAAAUAAAGGACUUUUAGUAAAAGAAAAAGAAAUUCCUUAUGAAUAUACUGAUUUCAAUGGUAAUAAACAUAUUUGUAAACAAGAAGUCAAAGUCCCUGUAAUAAUAGAAGGACUUAGAAUAAUAGUACCUUGUUAUAUAGAUUCAUUUAUGACUACAGAUCCAGAAAAACAUAUAGUAAUAGGAAAUAGUUUUUUAAGUAAUUUAGAAUAUUACAAAAUUGAACCAAAUAAAAUAACUUUCCUUAUACAAGGUCAAAGAAUAGUUUGUGACACAUGUUGAAACAAGCUUAUGUAAAAUAUCCUAUGUCUGUCUAUAUACAAAUAAAUAUAACAGAAAAAGACAUAGAUACUUGUGCUUUAAUUGACACAGGUAGUGAAAUAACUAUUAUGAAAUCCUUUUUAUCCAAUAAAUUGGAAUCAAAUGAAAAAUGAAAAAUUGUAGGAAUCACCGGCGAUAAACAACAGGUAAAUCAAUCUAUAUUAAACUUUGAAAUAUUAUUAGGCAGUAAAAUAAUUCGCAUUAACCAAAUCUUUCAAUAUAAUCAUCUAGAUUGUGAUAUACUGUUAGGAAAUGACUUUUUACAACAAUUCCAAUAUUACCAACAGACUACAUACAUGAUCACCUUAAAAACCCCUUGUAAUCAUAUUUUACGCAUCCCUCGUGAAUUUCGCCCCUACAGAGUUCAGCCAGCCCAGCGUGGUGAUAAGUACAUUUAUGAAAAAUAUUAUUUAAUACAAAACGGUCAGAGUCAGAGUUACAAUAUACAACUAGAAACAAUAAAGUCACAACUUGAACAAGUUUAUAGGGAAAAUCCGUUAGCAUUAUGGAAACCAGAUCAUCCUAAAGCAAAAAUAGAAUUAAUUGAAAAUAGAAUCAUAAGAUUAAAACCCAUGAUGUAUACAGAAGAAGAUAGAGAAGAAUUCAAAAUCCAAAUAAAAGAGUUAUUAAAUUUAAAACUCAUUAGGAAUAGCAAUAGCCCACAUAACAGCCCAGCAUUUAUGGUCAGGAAAAGAGCAGAACAAGUUAGAGGAAAAGCAAGAAUGGUAAUAAAUUAUAAAGAACUAAAUAAAUAUACAAAAUUUGAUGGAUAUUUUCUCCCUAAUAAAGAGGUAUUGAUAAAUCUUGUAAAAAAUAAGACCUAUUAUUCAAAAUUCGACUGUAAAUCAGGAUUUUGGCAAAUAAAAAUGGAAGAAAAUAGUAUUCCUUAUACAGCUUUUAGCACCCCACAAGGACAUUAUGAAUGGUUAGUAAUGCCCUUUGGACUAAAAAAUGCCCCACAAAUUUUCCAAAGUAGAAUAGAUAAAAUAUUUAGAAAUUAUAACUAUAUUAUAGUAUAUGUUGAUGAUAUAUUGAUAGCAUCAGAAACAGUAGAAGAACAUAGGCACCAUUUAAAAGAAUUUGUUAAUAUAUGUAUUAAGGAAGGUAUAGUAUUAUCUAGUAAGAAAGCAGUUAUAGAACAUAAGAAAAUAGAAUUUUUAGGAAUGAUACUCGACAAACAAGGUAUUAGACUUCAGAGCCAUAUAGGAAGGAAAAUAAUCGAAUUUCCAGAUAAGUUAGAAAAUAAACAACAAAUACAAAAAUUUUUAGGUUGCUUAAAUUAUGCAGAAGGAUUUAUAAAAGAUCUAGCAAAAAAGAGAAAUAUACUUCAGAAAUUACUAAGAAAAAAUAAUACUAGAGGAUGGAGUGAAGAACAUACAGAAACUGUAAAAAAUUUAAAACAAGAAUGUAAAAAUCUCCCAGCAUUAAGAUUACCUAAUGAAAAAGAUAAAUUGAUAAUCCAAACAGAUGCAUCAGAUUUAUAUUGGGGAGCAAUUCUGAAAACUGAUAUAAAUGAAAUUUGUCGAUACACAAGUGGAACAUUUAAUCAGGCACAAAUCAAUUAUCCAGUACAUGAAAAAGAACUCCUUGCAAUAUACAAAGGAAUUAAAAAAUUUUCAUUAUUUUUACUUCAAAAACAAUUUAUUGUAGAAACAGAUAAUUCUCAAGUAAAUUCUCUUAUUAAUAAAAUUUUACCAAAUGAACCUCAAUAUAGAAGAUUGCAUAGAUGGCAAGUUUAUCUGUCUUAUUACAAUUUUAAGAUAGUACAUAUAAAAGGGACUAACAAUUUCCUUGCAGACUUUUUAAGCAGGAACAUAGAAUUUGGAGAAUGAAUCCCGAAGCAAAUAGAAUUAUCGGAAAAAUAAAAGCUGAGAUACAAAGACUCAAGGCUGAAGCAUCUGAUAUAAUUGAUGCAAUACAAUGUAUAAAAGAGGCUUCUGAGGCUCAUGAGAAAGGAAUAAAUUUGUUAGAGUCAUAUAUAGAUGACUUAACAAAGGCGCUCUCUAUAAACACGAGCCCAAUAGAAAUAAACCCAAAUAUAGGAAGCAGUAGUGGACCCUUCAGAGAAAAUAAACCAAUCUCUGACCCAGUUCUAAAUAAAACUAUAUCCAUAGAAGUUGAGUCACCAAAAUCAGACCCUCCAAAAAAGUUUAUUCAAAUAGACAAUCCUCACAUGGAAGAAGAGGAGAAACCCCUAAAUCCAAAAGAAGAAGAGUAUAAACAAUUCUCUACAUGGAUAUAUUCCACUUGUUCUCAUAAUAAUACAAUUUUUAAAGCACCUGGAAAAAAUAUGUACCCCAGGAUGAUUGUUACAAAAGGAGCAGACCCACUCCUUGUUGGAAAAAUAGCAAAAUAUGGCUAUUUAGACUUAGUAUAUCCCGAUAUAGACCUUCGAGAAAUAGCCAGCCUUGAUGAUUUACUAAUAAAAGAAGUCUCAAGGUUUGCCCAAAAAAGACCCAUAUACUUGAAAUUUUAUACCAUAAGCCCAGAAUACUAUCAGAAUGUAGAAUACCAGGCUUUCUAUAUGAUUUCUGUAGGCCAUCUUACAAAAAAUUUUAAAGUCGAAGUAGGAACAGAAUAUACAAAUGUUCCUCACAUAAAUGAAUCUUGGAUCAGAACACGAAGAGCCAGAGGAAUAAAGGCCAUAUGGAGCAUAGCUAAGGAUUUGUAUAAAAGAAAUUUCAGAACAAUUAUUAAAUUUCAGAAUUACAUCCUUAUAACUUCUGAGGAUGGCCAUACACCUUCAAAUCUGUUACUAGACUUCAUCAAUGAAAUAAGUACUAUGCGUUUCCCCAGUAGUAGUAAAACCAUAGAGCAGGCUUAUCAACUCAUGGACAUAAAGCAAUGAUAGACAAGCUGUGGCCGACAACAAAAAGACAAAGAUACUUGAUAAGGCUUGUGAUAAAGCUACAACAAGACAAAGAUGCUUGAUAAGGCUUGUGAUAAAGCUACAACAAGACAAAGAUGCUUGAUAAGGCGCGUGAUAAAGCUACAACAGAUGCUUGACAAGAUAAAGGAGUGAUGUAAAAGUCCAGGAGUGAUGUAAAAGUCCAAUAAUACAAGGGCAAAAAUGUAACAAUAAUGUAAAAGCCCAAUAAUAGAAGGGCAAAAAUGUAAUCAUAAAACUCGAAGUAACUCCGAGUAUAAAUAAAAGGAAUAAGCUCUAAGGGCUUAUCAUUCAGCCAUAACUCCAUUAUCUUCCAUCAUCUUCAUUCAUGAACAGCUAAAUCUCUUCUCAGCUCAGAAUCCUAAAUCAAUACAUCACUAAUCAAAAACAAAAAAUCACCAUAGAAAGGAAAGAGAAACCUAAAUUUAUUCAACAUUCCUAAGCACAACGAUUGUAUUCCAUACAGUAAAGCCACUCGAGUCCGCUGAUCCCAUUGAGGCAAGGAGGCCGUUGAGGGAAUAAGGACAACCAGGCUGCAGGUCACUGGGAAAAAAUCGAAAGGCAAAGGAACAAGAAUAACUUGGGUAAUAAUUCUCAAUUCUUAUCUGUUGGUGGAAGUUUGUUGAUGAUUAAUGAUGAGGAGAUUUAUGGAAGAAGAGCUAAUUUCUUGAAGUGAAAUAUUUUAAUGAAUAAUGGAAUCUUAUUAGGAAGUUCUAAAGAACAGAUGAUAAACCCAACAACUAGGAUAACGUAUAAUGAUUAUACAAUGAUAAUAGAUUUCAAUCUAGGAUCAUUUAACCAAAGCUCUUAUCUUUUAAAUAAAGAUGAACUUGUUAGAAUAGAAGAACUACAAGCAGUAUAUAAGCUUGAAUUACCAAAGGAAAUAAAAAGAAAAAUUAUAAACCAUAUAGAAAUAGACACUUUAAAGCAUAACAUAAUUAUGUUAACUGUAGAACAAGGAAUUGAUAUAGCCAUAGCAUAUGUAAAACAUGGAAGUAGAGAAAUCGGACCAUCAUACAUUAAUUACUUAGAAAAUUCAGAUAAUGAAGAACUUGAACUAUAAAAUAUAUACCAUAAGGAUUAUAAGGUAUAUAGGCGAGCAACCCAUGACGUAAAUUGGAUAGACGAUCCCGAAUGGGCGUUAGUAUCCUCUGUACUUUGGGAUAACAAGCCACGUACCUAUAAUCAAUAUAUCCCAUAAUUAUGGAAACUUAUAAUGAAAUUAGAUAUUACACUAGUAUAAUAAACAAUAAUAUAUAUUUCAUAAAAGUGGAAAUAUUCUAUUCAGAAGAUGUAACAGGAAGUUUAAAUCAAACUCUUAAUCCUACAUAUAUUAUAGAAACUAAUAAUAGUUAUUAUGACUUGUAUGUUUCUACUCUUCCUAAUCCUAUCCCUAGAGUAAUUGAUGGAGAACAAGUUAUAGCCAUAUUUUUAAGAAAUAAUAGUGGUACAGGAUAUGAUAGAUAUGUACUAUAAUAGUUUUUGCAUAUACAUAAUAAGUGAAAUAUAUCUGUUAGUAAUAUCCAUUUAAUUUUUAAUUUUCAGUCUUUUCAGUUUAAAUUUUAGUUAUAUUCAGUUUAAAUUAUAUUCAGUUUAAAUUUUAGUUCACCAAAACAAAAUGGUAUCAGAGCCAUAACCAGAAUCAUAACUCUUACGAAUUAAAAUCUUGAUAAUAUUUUAUUUCAUAUAAAAUUAAUUAAUGGAUCCGAUACAAGCAAUAGUUAACAGCUUAUAUACUUUAAAAGUAUAUAACAAAGAAGAAAUAAAAAAUCUUAUAAUGGCUUUAAAAAUUGAUAAAAAUAAUAUAAGAAAUAUAGAACUCGAAUUAACAGAAGAAUUUAGAGAAAGGCAUAUAGACACGACAGGAGGAGAAAUAUUAAUAGAAAAGAAAAUGAAGUUUAUAGAUGAAUUUAUAAAAUUUCUAGUAUACUGGUAUAAGAAGGAAGCAUUAUGAAUCAUAAUCAACAUGCAUUUAAUAUAAUACAUGAAUUAGCAGAUAGUAUAGAUCAUAUGAUUUUAGGAUGGGAAAACAUGUUAAAUACAUAUAUAAAUCUAAUAAAUCAGAAAAUAGAAUUACUGGAACAAGAAAGAAUAGGAAUAAUAAAUUUAGGACCAGAAAUCUACUCUGAAAUUAUAGAUUUAUAUGAAUUUGAUAACCAUUUAAUGUUAUUUAAAGAAAUAAACAAAACCUUAGAAAGAAUGAGAAAUAGGUGUAGAAGGGAUGGAAGAAGUCAAAUACAUCCACAAUUGUAAAAGUUAAAAAAUAAAAGUACCUAAAAGAAAUUAGCCAAAGAAGAAAAAGACGAAAAACGUAAGAUACAUUGAUCGUAACUUAGGCACUCCCAACUUUUAUUAUGCCAAUUAGAAUAAAUGAAGCUGUUUUGAUUGGGUCACAGAAGAAACUUUUGAUGUGCCAAUUAACUAUUGAUCGGUAUGGUCAAUUAUCUUGGGUAAAAGGUACACUAUAUGAUAUGAAUCUUUUUGAAAAGUGAUUUUAUCAUUAUCAUUGUUAUUAUUAUUAUUAUUUAACAUAAGGAUUUUAUUAUUAUUAUUAACUUUAAAGCAUUAAUAGUAGGGUAAUAAUAGACCCUUAGAUUUGUAUGUUUUAAUCAUAAUCAUCCAACCUCCGGUGACCAAAUUCACUGCAAAUGUAGCUUUUGUUCCUGCAAAUGUAGCUUUUACCAGAAGUUUUACAUUUCGCCUCCAGAAACUAGUUCAAAUAAUCAAUUAACGUCACCAUGCAAUCAAUAGGACAUCCCACUAGCUAUGUUCAUGUGCUAGUAGAUGUACAUUGGAUUAUUAUUUUCUUGUGGUUGAAGAUUCAUCUGAACCAAAUGGGCCCAUGUGUAAUAAAAAUAAAUAAAUAAAUAACAAAAAAGCAUAAGCACAAACAGAAAAUUUAAUAUUUUUCUGACAAAAUAAAGAGAUAGGUGGGGGCAGUGGAAGACUGACUUUUGAUGACUCUUUGUCCGCCAUUAGAGAAUAACAGCAACCAAAUUAUGUUUUUCACUUCAAUUAUUAUUAGUAUUAUUAAUAAUUAGGACUUCUUUAUCAACAUAAAUCUUUCACCCAAAUUCAACAACCAAGGUUGCCGGUGGGUUGUGCUCGGCUAAUCAAAUGCAAGUAUUAUAUUUAGGGUUUAGUCUUAGAUAGAAGUUAAGUACCUGAAAUAUAAUCAUAGAUAACGCAUUGUACACCCACGUUCUCUGCCACUUUCUCAUUCACUUUUUAAAAAGUAAUCCAAUUUGACAAUAGAAGUAUAGAACUCAAAUUUACAAAGAAUUAUUAUUAAAUCGAUUAGAAUAACAACAUCAAUUUAGAUUAGUAAAAAAAUGUUAUAGAAUAAACAACGGUUGUGAAGAAUCCAAUUUCAAAUAAAAGAUUUUCACAUAUUGUAUUUUAACUUAUCUUUUUUUCCUUUUUUUUAAUAAAUUUAAAAUAACUCUUUAACCAUUUGUCAAUUAAUUAUAUAGUUUUAGAAAUAAUUAAAAUUUUUUAUUAAUAAAAAUAAUGUUCAUCGUUGAUUAAAUUUAAUGGUAUAUAUUUAUGACAUUAUUGAUACUGAAAAAAAAAAGUUAUAGCAUCACAGAGGGACUAUAGAAUUAUCGUUUUCUACUGAAAAAUUUUAGCAACAAAAUUAGCAGCCCCCACAAUGGAGAGAUUUAUGUGCUUUACAUAUUUCUUUAGUUACCAGUUAUCAAAUUCGUGAUUAAGUUAUUUUCUUGAAAAUUAUCUUUCAAAAUUAUUGUGUUCCACAACAUAUUUCCCGGAUAGACUUAUGGAGUAAUUUAAUUUGAAUGCUACAAAAAGAUCACAAGCCAUAUAUUUAUGUGCAAUCAAGAUUAUCUUAUGUGUUAUUAUGUAAAUAAUUACUCCUAUUGAGAAUCUAUAAAUGGUCCAAUUAGUCUUGCAUGCACUUAAUUUGGAGGGCAUUAAUAUUUUAUAUGCAAUCAUAAUCCUAAUAAACUCACUAUGGGUUUAAUUGAAUAGUGAUAUGUUAAUCCACAUCUGGAUCAACCGACCCAAAUUGAUCAAGCAACUCUAGGAUUAAUAUUUGACUCUAGGUUAAUGGAUCAACUGUGAACCGACAUUAUCAAUCAAGGCACCGACUUCCUACUAGCCCAAACCAAUAAUGCCACCUAUAUUCAAAUAAUAGUAAGUGUCUAUUUGAUAUGUUUUAUCUAAUAGUUAUAAAUGUUUAUUCAAUCUCAUAAUCUCUUUUCAAAAUUUUUACUGUUGCUUGUUGUUUUUUGAGUAGAGCUUUUGAAAACUAAAUAAGUUAUUUUAUUUCUACUAGCAAAAACUUAAAUUUUAGUCCUUUUGGUGUACAGGUUGAGAAGUUUUCUUAAAAUGUUAAAAUAUCUAAGAUAUCCUUACUAAUUUAAUAAUCUUAUUUGAUUCCUUUCAUAACAUGACGUUAAAUAAUUUACAUAUUAAUUAAUUUUACAAUUAUUAAUAAAAGCUCUCAUUGACAAUUAAACAACCAAUUUUUUAUUUUUGUUAAAACCUCCACUUGCAAAAACUCUACUAACAAAAGCUCUACUUAAAAAAAUUUUGCAUGAAAAGUUAUACCAAACGGAGCCUUAAACUCCGUUUAAGGUGCAUAGCCAAAUCCACAAUGACAACUCAAUACAUACUGGCAUUAAGAUAUAGUUAUGUGAGAUAAUUGGUUGUUUAUGGAGUAAUCACAAUUAUUUGUCAGAUGAUAUCAAAAAAUUUAGCAGACUCGUUUAGUAACUAAAGGCCUUGUAAGGGUUGGGACUUCCAGCACCAUCUUAGUUAUCACCAGUGAUCAAGUCUAACCCAAUACUUAAAACAUUAAGAUCUUAGAUUCAAUGAGUAGAAGACAUGCAUUAUAAUUUUUCAAGAUACAUUCUAUGGUACAUGUGGUUCAUAUGAAAUGAAAAAUAGUUAAUUUAUAAAAUAUAUUAUCAUCAGAAGAUUUAUUUUCUUAUUAAAUUAAUCACAUAGAUUCAUUUGAUUUUGAAAAUGGUUACAUGGAUACUUAAAAGAAAAAUGGUUACAUACUUAACAAAGACAUUAGACACCAUUCAAUGAACCAGAAGGUAUUCUAUGGCAAAACAGAUACGCAAGGAACAUCUUACACGUUAACCCAAAUGAUUGGCCUACUGCAGCUCAACUAAUGGAGCAUCCAUUUGUAAAGAGGCCACUGCAAACUUCUAGGUAACUUCCUUCUCCUCAUUAUAACAUCAUACAGUCUUCAAAGCUUCUGAUCAUCCUUUUGGGUUUAUUUAUAUCCUAGAGGUAGUCUAGCGGCGUCGCCAAACUAAACAAUUAACUGCAACCUGUAGUUCUAGGUUUGAUUUCUUGUUUGGAUUUAAUAUCAUGGACAUACUGAAAAGAAUUGUUAAAUACAUUUAUAAAAUAUCCAUUUGGGUUUGCAACUUCACUGUAAAGCUUAUGGGGAGAGGAGCAAGAUUCUGAUGCAUCCAGUGGCUGCCUUGGCGAUCGCAAUUCACAAUAUGAAGGGAAUAUGUAGUGAAUUGAAUGCUUUAUAGUUCACUAGCAAGAUGCUUAAGAACCAAUUUCAACAGCCUUGAUAAUUCAAUGAUUAGCAACAAUUAUAAAUGAGAUUUAACAAAGAUCAAGACACAAGACUAAUCCAGCAACAAGAAGCAAUCACACAAUCAAAACAAAGACAGAUUUACUUGGUUCAAUUGUGCAAGAGAGCACAAUCUACAUCCACGGGAGAAGUCACCAGAAUGAGAUUUAUUGAUGAUUCCUGUGAAUGUUACAGAGCUACAAAAAAGUUGAUUAAAAAGAACAAGAUGACAAUUUCUCUCUCUUAUAACUCUCUCUAGAAUGCUCUUCGAUUGAUUAUGAAGCUGCUCUGUUGAUCAGCUUAUAUAUUAGCUUGUAUGAAACCCAGACUGCACAGAUUGAUGCCACCUGGAUAACAGCUUCUUAACUAACUUAAUUCCAUCCUCACGUGCUCGCUCACACGCUUCACUUAAACCACAGCCAAAACGCCUGUCUCUUGCCGAUUUGAUCUUCAGUAAGUCACAUGUUUAGCUCGUGGAAGUCUGGGCUUAUUAACAUGCUGAAACGCUGCCGUUUAGCUAACCCAGGUUUUGAAUUCAUCAUUUUAGUCCACAGAAUAAACAAGUGCCUCUAGAUGUUUUAAAGCAACUCCUUGCUGUUGAUAACUGGACAAACCUUGAGAGAUUCGCAUUAGAUCUGGCCACUUUGCUUUUUAUGCUGGUUUGCUUUGAGGUUAACCUACAUGUUUACAUGGUUGCUCUGUCGUUUGGUUCUAUAUCCAUUAGGAAUAAUUCUUUUAGAGCUUGUGUUAUCUGUUCUUUAUUUUGUAUGUGUCGUUUGUUUGCAGCUGUUAGUACAACGCUAAGCAUCUUUUUGCUGUUGAAUCUACCUGCAAGGCAAUUCUUGGCACUGAAAACAGAGAUGGAGGGUUCUUGGUGAGUAUGCACUGGACACAACUGCUUAUGGUGCAAAAUCUGAGAAGCUGAGAUGGUGCACACAUUCUAUCAUUGCUUAUGGACCCCCUGCAGACAGAUCGGUGGCAUUUAAAUUGCUAGGUUUCCUUCCCUUCAUGUGGGCUAGGUUUUUUUUGUUACGAUUUUCCUUUCUGGGCAGAGUGCUUGGCAUCAAUUUAGUGUAAAGAACUCUUUUUCAGAAGUAAAAAAAAGCAGUAUUUGUAAAAUUUAAAUGUUGCAUUUUAUGGCUCAAAGGUAAAUUCUGUCAGCAUAUGUUUUUAUGCAUACGCUGAGAAUCUGUUCAUAUGACGAAGCAAAUGAAAUGUCAGCAUCUUUGGCUUUUGUGAAAAUGAAAAUUGAGUAAUAAAAAAUGGUGCUUUUUUGAAAAUAAUAAUUAAGAAUGAAAAUAGUGUUUUUAAAAAUGGAAAGGAAAAUGCGUUGGUAGCAUUUUUUAAAAUAAAUUUUCUAAAACAGAAAAAUGGAAAAUGUAGAAAUAGUAGUGAAUUUCUACUAUUUGGGAUUGGUAGAUGAAGAAAGGUGGAGAGAUUUGGCCGCAACUGGAAACAAAAGAUUGUUUUGUAAAAUGCAUCGUAAAAUUAAAUAAAUUUAAAUUUUUAUAAUAUUUUUUAUAACAUGAUAAAUUAAGUGGAUUAUUAAUAAUUUUCUUAAAAAUGAAAUAGAAACCAAAAGGAAUUUAAAUUACAUGAUAAAAGGCUAUUUUAUAAGGGAAAGGUAAAGGGAAUUUAUUAAAAUGUAGCUUCUCUAAACAACUCCUUGUUAGUCGCUAAUAAGUUAAUAUUAUUUUAAUUAAAUAAAUAUGUUUUUUUAAAAAAAUAAGUGAUAAUUAAAAUGUUUCUCUCUUUUUUUUUUAAAUAUAAAAUAUAAAUUAAAAGGGAAAAAAAUAACUCUAUAAAAUUAGAAAGAGAGAAUCAUUUCUUAUUUAAAUAAUUUUAAUUGAAAUAUUUUUUAAAAAAAUUUAAAUCUUAAUAUAAUUUGUUAAAUAAAUAAUAAAAUUUUAUUUAAAAAGCGAGUAACGACACAUGGCAACAUAUACAAUUUUUCUACAUGAGUGAGUCGGUCGCCCAAACGGCCACCAGGAUAAGGAGAGUGAUGUCCUUUUCAGUGUGUACGGACGCUUACUUGUCUUGGCUGGCCAGAAGGAUAAAUCAGUUUUUUAGGGAGAAAGGUCAAAAAAUCCAUACAGCUGAAUGGGGGUAAAAAUGGAGGAGUUAUUGAAUUUGAAAGCCUCGAGAAAAUGGAGAUCUGCCGGCAAUGCAAUUCGCUUCCUCACGAAACGCCGUAGAAGCUUCCGUAGGACCGCCGACCUCGACGCUGAGGCUAACAAUCCCAAAUUACCGGUCCAUGUUCCCUUUUUGUUAGUUACUCAUGAUUCAAGUUAAUUUAGGUUAGCUUGUUCAUGUUAUUUUCUCUAAUUACUAAUUAGUAGCAAUCUAGUAUUACUUAUUUAGUUCUUUGCCCUAAUAAGAACCAUUCAUAUGAAGAAGCAAAUGAAAUAUCAGCAUCUUUUGCGUUUGAGAAAACGAAAAUGGAGUGAUAAAAAAAUAUUUUUUUUAAAUAAUAAUUGAGAAUGAAUAUAAUGUUUUCAAAAUCAGUAAUUUUAAAAAUGGAAAAUGAGUUGGUGGCAUUUUUAAAUUAAAAUGGAAAAUGUAGAAAUUGUAGUAAAAUUUCUUACUACUAUUUGGGAUUGGUAGAUGAAGAAAAGUGGAGAGAUUUGGCCGCAAUUGAAGUGUACAGAUCCACUUGAUUUGUGCGGGAAUUUUUAUAGGUGAAAAAUUUCACUGUUGAGAUAGAUGCGGAGAAUCUCUAUUAUUGAGAUUGUGAGAAAAUUUAGUAUUGGUUUCUUUUUAAAGAAUCUCCCGUGAAGGAUCUUGUUGAGUUAUGAUAGAAAAGGUAAAAGAGGAUUAGUGAAUAAAAAUUUAAAAAAAAUUAUUGAAAAAGAAGAAGGAAUUUGCAGUCAAUAAAACAAAAGAAAAAAGAAUUUUUUUUGUUAUUUUUAUUUUAGCGGUUUAUGUCGAGUGUUUUAUAAAAUAGAAGAAAACAAUAAAUGAGUGUUCUCUGAUUUUAUCUGAUAAGUGUUGGAAACCUGAUUUUUUUUAUUUUAAAAAUUUCUUUUAAAAACUGAUGCACCAAACACGUUUUUUAGCCUUUUUUUUGGUGUUUUUGAAAGCAGAAAAUUGUUUUGUAAAAUGCAUCCAAAUGCACCCUUAAUUGUUAUUAUAUUAUCUGAAUAUUUUCCGUACACUUCCACCUCUGCCAGUUACAAACAUAUAGCGUAUUCAUGUUAUUUUCCCUAAUUACUAAUUAGUAGCAAUUUAGUAUUACUUAUUUAGUUCUUUGCCUAAUUUCAUUGAGGCUAAUGGGGAUCUUUAAAAUCAACACUCAAGAAUUUUAAAUGCAGUGUGGACAGUAAAGAUUAAUAGUACAAACUGAUUAAGAAAUUGAAUUUUCGGUACCGGACUAAAGGCUGUCUGUGUGUUACAGGAACAAGGUAGAGCUUCAUCUGUUGUUGUGGAAGCCGUACUUCACUUUACUGAAAGUCUGGGUGAAGAUGUGCCAUCAAGUGAGUACAUUGGGCCUGAGGCUGGCAUCGAAGCUAGAAGAUUUCACGAACCCGUUGAUGAUAUUGAAUCCACUGUCAAUGGCCAUGAUGUAAAUUUAACUGUUCCUGCUUCUUUGAUAUUAGAAAAUUGCUCAUGUAUCGAGGUAAGAAGUUUCUAAGUUUUGCAUACAAUUGGCCUCCAAUUUCUAAGCUUAAUAUUUUUCACUUAAUGAAUGCCAAUACAAUUUCAUUGAUGGGAAUGCAUAAUUGCAUUCUUUGUAUAUUACAGAUUUGUGAGUUACUUGGUAGAUAUGAGAAACGUGCACUUGCGAUGUUUUAUCUUGUGUUGGAAGCAGCAUCAUUUUUACUGGAUAUAUUUGGGAAAAGUAAGAGGAGCAUCCUUCUCGCUGCAUUUCUAUUGUCAGCAUUUGGUUUUGCUAUUACUAUGAGUAUGCCUACUUGUAUCAUGAGAAGAAUCAGAGCUGCUGCAGCCAGAAUGCAUAUUCAGAAGCUGCUACGUGUGGUGUUGGAAAUUUCUUUCUCUUUGGUCCAGUUGAUUGUUACGCUCAUUUAUUUUAUUCUGGCGGAAUUAGGUGUCAAGAACAGUUUUAAUGCAUCUGUUUUCCCACUAGUCUUUGCUAUAGUUGCUGCUGUGUUUACUUUCAAAUAUGAUGGGGAAGUUACUGAUUUGCCAGGCCUCGACAAUCCAGCUGCUGAUAAUCAGGUAUGAUUGUGGACAUAAUUGUAAUUGGUAGUGUCGUUAAGGUGCACCAAAUUUAAAACCUUACCACUGAUAUAAAUAAUUAGUACAGAGCGAGUAAGGAUCGAUCCCACAGAGACUAUGCUAUUUAUAUUUAUUAUUAACUCCAAAGCAAGAUUUAAAAUAAAAUAAUAGUAGUAAUAAUAAUAGUAAUAAUAAUAUAAAUUAAUCUAAUUAAAGAAAAUGCCAAUUAAAAAUAAAAGGGGGGUUUAUGAAUUUUUAACUAAAUAGUAAGAAAUAAAGAAAUUAAAAUUACGAACAAGAAUUUAAUAAAAACUCUAAUUAAAGGAGAAAGAAAUAAUAAUGAUGAAAACUUUGGUUAAAGGAUCAUUCGCCACCACCAAACAUGCACAUAGUAUAUUAAUUCUAUCAUCAAUUUAUAUUGAAACUUUCAACCGUAGACAACAAUAAGCUCUGUUAGUCUCAAUCUUUCCUUAGUGUGUCGUUAGGCAAAAUAAGCUCUUCACCUAAUCUCUAACCAUUAAAUAAUUUAAAACAAGCUCUUUAAAUUUAAGAUAAUGGAAGCAUUAAACAAAGAAAGAUAUUAGGUUGAUCUAGGCAAUAAACACACAAGCUCGGGUUAUUUAACCUAGGUUAUGUUCUUCAAUUGAAAUCACUAAUUCCAACCUGCUACUUAUGAUUAAAAUAUCAAGACAAUUACGGAUCAAGAAUUUUAAUCUAGCAAUAAAAUUUAUUCAAGUCCUAUCUAAUUGGCCACUCAAAUAAAACAAGAAUAAACCAUGAACAUUAAUUAUAGAAGAACAUAAACAAUCUCAAUUAAAUAAAUUAAAUGAUAGAAUUUAAAUUUAAUUGCAUAGCAUGUUUAGGGUUUUGAAUUCACCCUCAACCAAAUAAAAAUCUAGCCUAACAUAAUUAAAUUGGGAAUAAGAGAAUUGAUAAAACCAAUCAUGGAGAUUAAUUCAAGUGGUUGUUGAUUUUCCUCUUGCUGCCGAAUUGGAUCUGCCCUCUUCUAAAGUCUCUUGCUGCCCGAAUUCUUCUCCUUUGUUUUUUUUUUUCCUUCUUGCGGCUCUUGGUUUUUUUUUUCUUUUCUUUUCUUUUCCCGAAUUGAAUCAGCCCCUGCUCUCCCUCUUUUAUAUUGUGCCUUAAAUCCUCACAUGAAAAGGAUUAAAGACAAAAGUCAAGCCCCCACUUUUCUUUAGAUUCACGUGCAAGGCAAUUUUCCCUUUUUUGUUUCACUUUGCUUUCCAUAAUUCAAUGCCAUGCACGUGACUUAUUUAAUUAAUAAGCCAAUAACAAUUUGGCCAAAGCCCAUCACAAGAAGUGUUUGCCUUAUUAAUUAAAUUAUUUCCAAUGCUAAUUCUUCUCAUCUUCACGUAUGAACUUCAAUUAGGCAUUGGCUGCUUUGAUUUUCUUCCAUUUUAACUCCCAUUACUUUCUUUAAAUUUCUAAUUAGUUUCUUCUUUAAGCUCUCCUUACUUGAAUAUUCUGAUUUAAUUCCUCUUUAUUCCCAAAAUGCACCUAAAAUAACAAAAUAUAAAAAUUAACAUAAAAUUAACAUAAUAAAAUAUAAUUUACUAAAUUAAAAAUUAACUAAAAUAACUAGAAUAUUUAAGACCAAAACAAGAAAAAGAUAGAGAAAUUAAUAGCAAAAUAUAUGGAAAAUAUGCACUUAUCAGUAAUCAUCAAGCUGCACUUGGUGAAUUCGCAUAACUUAUUACCUCUAUGACUAUGAAUUCCUACAAAUAUAAAGAAACUACAUUAGACGGUAAGCUUUUGCAAUAUUGUGGAAAGAAGGAAAUACAAAGAUUGUGAGAUUGCAUUGUGUCAGUCAAUCAUUUAGUCAUAUGAGGUCUCUAAAGGAUUGCUCUAAUAAUUUGAAUGUAUAAUGCUCGGGUGCCUCUGUAGAUUUAGAAAUCCUUUAUGUAUGGCCAAAUGAGUACAGAUAUCAAAUCUUUGUUAGUUUGCAUCUUUUUAGGUGCCAAAUACCAAUCGCAAUGAGGAUCCGGAAGCAAACGGCAGCAUGCCUAUGUUGGCGGUAGUGACCAAUGAUGAUUCUAAGAGACAAGGUCCAUAUGCUCGUAGGACUGAUGGUCCAUAUGCUCGUAGGAGUCUGACAAUUUGAUUAUUGUUUCAUGGUUAGAGCCUAGAGGAGGCAUUUGCUCCCAUUUGUGCAUUUGAUUCAGAUUCGAGUUGACUAUAAUUAUAGAUAUCAAUUUUGACCAUAAAAGCACAUUAAUUGGGUCCAUGUUUUAGCCAUAGCUGUUACAAUUAAUUUCAAUUACUUUGUAGUCCAGUUGGAUAAAUAUCCGUAAUUUGGAUUAUAACUAAAUACAUAUGUAUUAUUUAGCUGAAUAGCUUUUUAUUUAUAGAACUCGUUGAGGGGGUUAAACGAUGGAGUUAAGUUAUCUGAGAUUCUUGAAAUUCAUGAAACUUGUAUUAUGCCAAUUAGAAACUUUUAAUGUGCUAAUUAAUUAUUGAUCGGCAUGGUUAAUCGUCUUGGGUAAAUGUACACUACGUGAAUCUUUUUUAAAAAGUGAGUUUAUUAUUAUCAUUAUCAUUAUUAUUAUUAUUAUUAUUUAACCUAAUUGCAAUAAAAUUUCCUAGUAUUUUAUGUGCGGGUUUCAACUACAGAACCAUCGCUUUCUACUUACAAAUUUUACCAACAAAAUUAGCGGCCCCCAGCCCCCCACAAUGGAGAGAUUUAUAUGUACCUCACAUAUUUCUCUAGUUAUUAGUUAUCAAUUUCAUGAUUGUGUUAUUUUCUUGAAAAUUAUCCUCAAAAUAAUUGUGUUCCACAGCAUAUCUCCUAAAGAAAAAUAAGGGCGUCUUCUAUUUUACCCAUAAUAUACGGGAGAUGUCGACGUAGUUUUAUAGACUCAUUUGAUCUGAAUAGUACAUAAAGAUCAUAAGCCAGAUAUUUAUAUGUUAUCAAGAUAAUAUUAAUGGCAUGUAUACAUUCCGGAUUGGGGAAUCAAAAUCAUUGACAGCGCGUACAUUGCAAAACAGAGGCGGGAAUCGGAAUCGUGGGAUCCACCCAAUUUGAGAAUGAGGAAUGAAAGAUUGAUUCUCGGGGGUUGAGAAUCAAUCUCUCAUUUCCUAGUCAAUCUCCCAUUCCUAAACUAUCCAUUUUACCCCAAUGAAUUUUCAUAAUUCCCAAAAUGCCCUUAAUCAAGUUUUGUCAUUUUUUCAUUUCAGUCCCUAUAAAAUUAUGAAAUUACCCAAAACUUUUGUAUUAUUUGUAAAUAAGUCCUCUAAUAAUAAUAGUAGUAGUAGUAAUAAUAUUAUUAUUAAUUUUAAUUUUAAAUAUUAUUAUUUAUUAUUAUUACUAUCAUUAAUGUCAUUAUUAUUAUUAUUGACUUUAUUAUUUUAAUUAUUAUUAUUUUUAUUAAAAUUAUCAUUAUUAAAAUCUAUUAAUAAUAGUAAUAUUAUCAUAAAUAAGAAAUUUAUUAUUAUUGUUAUUAUUAAUGAUAAAAGUAUUAUAAUCAAUUCUUAACGUUAAUAAUAAUUAUGACAAAAGUUAAUUAAGGACUUUUUAGUAAUUUGUAAUAAUCUAAUUCAUUCCGAUUAUGAUUUCAGGACAUAGUAAACAUUUCAAUGGUAAUAAAGUUUGUUUCGAUUUUGAUUCCUACAACUCAAGUAAAUAACUAAUUAUAAUUCCAAUUCCUCAUUCUGAUUCCAGCGCAUUUCGAUUCCAACCCAUUCCAAUUCUCGUGUAGUAAAUGCAUCAUAAGGGUGAUUAUGUAUAUAAUUACUCAUAUUGAGAAUCCAUAAAUGGUCUUGCAUGCACUUAAUUUCAAGGGCAUUAAUAUUUUAUAUGUUAUCAUAAUUAGGGGUGAGUAAGCCCAAUCCAAACUAAUGGACCCGAUCUAGCCCAAUCUAAUUUUCUUAAUUUUAAUAUAAUUAGUUUUUUAUCUUUCUUUAUCAAACACUAGCCAAUGAAUGAAAUUUUCAUGUUAUAAUAUAUUUAUAUUUAAUUUUAAUAAGUUUUAUAUCUUUUUUAUUUAAUUUUUAAUUUUAAUUUAACAUUCAAACUAACCUGAUGAUUUAAGGGUUAGAUUGAACAUGCUUAUUUAAUUGGGAUAGAUUGAUUUUAUCUCAAUCUAUUGAAUAAUGAGUUAGAUUGAAUAUUCACAAAUCUUAUUCACCGUAACCCAUGCCCAUCCCUAAUAAUACUCCUAAUAAGCACCCUAUGGGUUUUCAUUGAAUAAUGAUCUAUUAAUCCACAUCUACUUUGUGACUGGAUUAGCGAGCCAAGCGAUCUAGCCACUCCAGGACCAAUACUUGACUCUAGGUUAAUGGAUCAACAAUGGACUGAAAGAGUGAGACUAUUGGCACCCCUCUAAAUAUCUCUCAACACCUCUUUUCUUUAUUAACCCCAUUAAAAUAUUUAACAAUAUUAUAAAAUUCUUUUAACACCCUUUUAAUGACAAAAAUACCCUUAGUUUAAAUUUAUUAAUAUAAACCCCGUUUUAAUUUUUGACCGCUGAUUGUGAUUUUUUUUUUGAAAGCACCUUAUUAUGAAUUUUGAAACAAUUAAUCAUCUAUUGAAAAAGAAAGAAAGAAAAGGAAAAAAAAAAGGAAAAGGGAUCUUGCUCCAGAAACUUCUACUUUAAUGUGGCAAAUCAUUGAAACACCACAUGGCCAAAACUUUACUCUAAUGCAUGACAACUCAUUGUAAUUGAUAAUGACACCUCGCAAACACUUGGCUACCAUGCGUGUAAUUCUAAGGCCAAGUGCUAAUUUGGUUUACUGAUGAAGAUGAUGAGCACAAGCUUCUGAAAAUGCAGAAUCACGGAUUCUUCGAAAGACUGCGAGCCUUUGUGGAGAAAGACAACUGGGGCACUGGAAAACAUGUCGGUGGGAAAAUAAUUCUGAUGUUCGUUCAGCUCGUCCUUUGCUUCAUAAUUACUUUCUUCUUUCUUAAUUUCCCUCAUGGGCCUCAGUUUCUUCCUGAAGCUUGUUGAUGAUGAGUUGCAUAUGCCGAUAAUUCCUCACCAGAAAAUAAGAUUAAAAAGUAACUUUCUUAAUUUUUAAAAUGCUGAAUUUCAAUUUCAGGUACUAUUCAUUUUAUCUCUUAAUCAAGUUAUUUUUCAUUUUUCUGCUGAUAUUUUAAUAUUUACAGUCAAUUGUAGCAUUACUUAAAUUUAUAGUAUGUAGAUCAUAAUUCAUAAAUUAGUUUGUAGUUGGAGUAAACUCGGAAAUGUUAAAAAAAUAAUAAUAAAAACAAAAAGAGUACAGACAAGUUGUCAUCUUGAGUAACAAUAAAAUAAAAAAUUCCAGCUUAUACAAAGUCUUUCUUUAAAAAUAUGAAACGAAUAAAAUGACUAUUAAAAUGGUUCAAAAUUUUCUAAUACUGUCAUUGACUAGCUAGAUCAAUUGUUUCUUGUGUGGUAACUUCAAACACCAAAUCCUUAAAAGCAAUUAUAUUAGUUUUGUAUGGUGUUGCCCAGCCUUCUGCACAUGGUUCAUGAUAUUUGAUCCAACUAUUCGCAAUAGGAGGAAUAGGUGAAGCUGGAAGCAUGAACACCUGGAAAAAAAAAAGCCAUAAAAAAAUUAGUCCAAUAAUUAAGAUAUUGCAGCAUAAUUUGAAUUUCUAAACUUUUACAUACCUCUAUGAAAUGAUUUCUAUUAACAAAUCCAAUAGCAAUGAUUUUAUGCGAGGAGCGUGAUAAUGGAAUAGAUCUAAGUGGAAGGAAUGUUAGAUUCAGCACAUCUGAUAUAUGUAGUAAUACCACAUUAUAUUUAGAAGCAAUAAUAUGACCAAUUUCAGGCAUGGUCAUCCAAUACUCUCUCCCUGGGUUAUUCUCAAAGUAUAAAAGUGAAUGAAGUACCUCCUCUGCUCUACCAGCAUAUUCAAAGACUCUUUUAUAAUCAUUAAAGUGACUUUGCAACUCAAUAACUAAGUCUUUCCUGACUUGUGCCCAGCUAUCUUCACCAAUACCUAUUAGGUUAGCCACUGCCCGAAAACCACAAUUACCAUCUGCAACAACAUCGCUAACACCACAAAUAUAAGGCCUCAAACCAAAUGGAAAUGAAUCAAUAUAAGAAGCAUGCUUUGGUGCUUUUGUUUGAGAAACACUCAUUUUUCGUUGCCCUUUUGGUUUUUUUGUAGUUGUACUUGAAGACAUAAUGUUUGGAGAAUGAUUAUCCUGUGCGGAUACUACAUACUCAAAUCUUGAUGGAUCUCGGCGGGUAGAUUUAUCAAGCUUUUGGGAGGGUCGUCCUCGAGUCUUAUCUUUAAUAGUUGGCUCAAUUAAAAAAGUUGAGGAUGGAUCAGUUAACUCUUUCAGUUUUCUUUUUAUUUGCAUUUUUCCGAAACCAUCUGAAUCUUCAAAACUCUUGAUAAUCAUUUCCAUUUUAGGGGUACAACUCAACUCUGCUGAUUUUUCAUAGCUGGUGCAGACAAGGUCUAAUUUCCUCCAAUGCGAAUGUACAGAAUCUAAAGGUAUUGGUCGACCUUCACGCUUAUACUCUCCAAUUUCAUGUGCACACGGUAGCCCAUGAGUGUGUCGAACUACACAACCACAUGCUGAAAUAUCUAUACCAAUUAAAUUAGCUCUUUUUGACUCACUUAGUAUCAUAUCUAAUGCAUUUCUAGCAACUAAUCCCCUUAAUUCUUUAAAAACUGAAGGUGUGAAACUAUGUUGCAUAGUAGUCAAACUCUUCUCAAAUGAUGCCUUAAUUUCUGUAUGUUGCAACUCUACCAAAGAAUAAAGUUUUGUCCAUAACGUUACAAAGUUUCCUUGGGAUGAACAUAGUUGCCUUUUUAAUUUUGAAUGUGCAGUCUCAGCCCUGAAAAUAAACCAACAAAAAUUAAAAAAAUAAAAAGAUAUAUAAAAAAAUGGUGUUGAGUUUAGUUAUAAAAUCAUUGAAAACUAAAUAUUGUUUACCUGUUGGUUGUCAUAUUUCCGAAAUGCAUAAUAAAGUCUGUCCAUGCUGCAAUAAAUUUUUCUUUAUACUUAUCAAGCCAUGUUUGCUUUACAUAGACAAGUGCUUUUGGAUAUCUAGCAUAAUCACUCUAAAACAUACUCAAGUGUUGUAUGUACUCUUGCUCAGUGGCUGAGAACACCAGUACAUUCCAGCUGCUGUUAAAGGCUUCCCAUCUUUCAUUAGUCUCAAAUAGCUUCUUACAAUUAGCUAACACAUUUCUUGAAAUAUGCCAUCUACAAAGUAAAUUAGUUGCACUUGGAAAUAUCUUUUCAAUGGCAUUCAUCAGAGCUAAUUCUCUGUCUGUCACAAUCAUAGUUGGUAAUAUAUCAUCUUGCAUAAUGGUUUUCAAUCUUUCUAAUGCCCAAAUAUAGUUAUCUUCUCGCUCGGACUCAAGAUAUGCAAAACCAACAUUAAAUGUCAUUGCAGUCGAUGUGACACCAACUAUUUCCAACAACGAAAACUUAUACUUAUUGACUUUAUAAGUGCAGUCCAUUAUCAGAACACUUGGAAAAGCUUUUAACAAAUCAAAAGUAAGAGGAUGUGCCCAAAAUAUGUCUUUCACACAAUUUGUAUCAUCAUCACUCCGAUGCCACUCAAUGUAAUUAUGAUCAUGCAAUUUACUCAUAAGCUGUUGCAUUUGUGACCGUCCGCCCAAUUCGCGAACCUUAUAUUUAUACCGAGCAUUAUAAAUUGUCUUCAUUGUUGUAACAUUAAAUGUAUCCCUAGUCUUUAAAGUAUGUAAUAUCUCUUUUGGCCGAACAUUAUUUUUAGACAAAUCAACCAAUAUACUAACCUCUUCAUUAGUAAGUCUACCUGCAAAUGAGUGGCCCUCAAGAUAUUGUGCAGAAUGAUGGUUAUGCAAUCCACAGAUUACUUUUAACAUCCAAUCUUGAUUAUUCGCCAACAUUUGACCCUUUAAUAAAAAUGGACAGCCACACUUUUUUGUUCCAAUUGCAUUCGGUCUUUUCUUCUUUUCCAAGUCGUUGUUCUGCUUAGACAUGCUGGUACUUCUUUUCGGAUAUGCACCACUUCUUUCACAAGCAAAAAUUAUCCUUGGUCUCCUUCCAAUCACAUUCACGUCAGAUCUUUUAAUAACAAUCACAAGUCCAUUUUUUUUCCCAACAUCAUGCGUCCAUCGAAUCAACUCUUCUCUACUGGUGAAAACCUAUGAAUAAGACAAUAAUAUAUUAGUUAAUGAUACAAAGAAAAGAGAAUAUAUGUAUGAAAAUUUAUAUAGUGUUUUACCUCUUCAGUAGUGAAUGCAGCAGUGUAAUCCAUAACAUCUACUUUAUUAUCAAGAAUGGCAACUAUGGUAGAACUUUCCUCCUUCACAAUCAUUGUAAGAUAUUACAUAAGUUAAUACAAGACACAAAACUCGAAUAAUAGCAAUUUAUUCAGCAAUAAUCAACCAAACAAUUGACAUUUGUUAAGGGGAUAUUUGUUGAACAUUGUUCAACGCUCUCCUUGUCAUUAUAAUUCUAAAACAAUAAAUUAAUAGCAAACUUACUUUUUUAUUAUCAUCCUCAUAUGUUUGCAUGAAUACUUUGCCCUAAAUUUGAAACUCUUAGAUUAGGGUUUAAGAAAGAAAAGAGAGUUUAUACCGUAUGCCGUAUAAAGAAUUUAAAACUCUUAAACAAAAAUAUGCCGUAUAAGAAAUUUUUAAGGGAAAAAAUUAUUUGAUUUUGAGUAGGGGUUUAAUUAGAAAUUGUCUUAUUAUGUAAUUUUAAUAAAGGUUGUAAUUGUAAAAUAACUAAAGGGGUGUUAAGAGGUAUUUAGGGGGGGUGCCAAUAAUCCCACUCGGACUGAAAUUAUCAAUCAAGACACAGAACUUCCAUCUAGCCCAAACCAAUACUUAUGUGAAACAAUUGGUCAUUGAUGGAGUAAUCGACUUUGUGACAUCAUGCCAAAAAGAAAAAUUAGUUGACCCUUUUACUGUGUAAGGGAUGCGACCUCUAGCAUCAUCUUUUCACCAGUGACCGAGAAUCAACACAAUGAACAUCAAGGUCUUGGAUUCAGUGAGUAGAAGGCAAACAUUAUAAUUAAUUAUUUUAGAUAUGUUCUAUGGUAUGUAUGUGCUUCACAAAAAAAAAAAAAAAAUAGUUAAGUUAUGAAAUAUACUCUCACUUAAAGAUAUGUGACAAAUUUCUUAAAAAUUCAUAGGAGUUUAGAUCAUAAGAAGAUUUUAUUUUCUAAAUUCAUUUGAUUUUUGAAACGGUUACAUGGAUAAUUAAAAAAAAGUGUCACAUUUAAAUGGACACCAUUUAAUGAACUAAAAGAGUUUGUAUGACAAAAUAGGUAAGUAAGGAACAUCUUAUACUGUGGAACCAAAUUUUAAUUAUAUAGGAUUGAUAUACAUAGAAAAAUUCGUUUCACAACUUUAAUUGCCUUAAACUGGGUCCAUACAUUUAUCUAAUUUCAGCUUUCACAUUAUAAUUAAAGCUAAAUAAAUUUUUCUAACGUGUAGGAUAUUAACAAAGUGAAGACUUAAAGAAAGCCUCAACAUUGACACUUACACUUCUUAUGAUUGGUAUGAUCCAUGUCGUCCUAAAACAGAAUCAUGGAGGACAGAAGGAGGAGGAAAUAUUGAUUACUGCUUAUGGGACGGCGUUCAACGUAAUGAGAACACUGGUCAUGUCAUCAAGCUUGACCGUUCAAAUAGCUGCCUCCAAGGUUCUAUCAACUCUAGCAGCGGUCUUUUUGACCUUGUAAUUCUUGAGUGGCUUUAUCUUUCUUUUAAUAAUUAACUUCAAUUCUUCUAAAUUAAUCCUACAAAAAAUCAUCAACCUAUCGAGCUUAUCAUAUCUAGACCUCUUUGAUUCUUCAUUUUCUGGUCAAAUAACGUCAAAAAUAUUAAAGCUCUCAUAUUAAAGCUCUCGCCAAUUUGUUGUCCCUUGAAUUAUAAGGAAAUUUAUAUCUUGCACUCUCGAGAAGCCAUGUAUGGAAAUCUAUUUGAGAAUUGUUAACCAUCCUAAAAGAACUUGAUCUUAGUGCUGUGAAUGUGACAAUUGAUUCUUCAAUACUCAUAACUUGGCAAAUCUAUCUUAUUUGACAUUUUUAUCUCUUUCAAACUGCAUGCCAGUUGCAGAUCAUCAAUUGAAGGUGUGGCCAAGCCAGUUACUAGUAUUCUUAACAAGAGCUUCGAGAUAAGGCACAUGUGGUGUUGUUAGUACAGAGCCAAGGCAUCUCCUUGUCGUCGAAUCUACCAUGCAACGAGGCAAUUCUUUCAUCGAAAACAGUGUUGAUUCCUAGCUUCUAGGUGAAUAUUUACUAUGCACUACUGCUCGUGGUACAAAAUCUAAGAAAUUUAGAUGGUGCACAUAUUCUUUCGUCACUUAUCGAACCCCUGCAAACAGAUUAUUGACAUUUAAAUUGUUGGGUUUCCUUGCCAUCUUGUGGGGUAAGUUUUUUCAGUUAAAAUUUAAUUUCCAUUUUUUUCUUUUCUUGAGCAAAGUGGUUGGCGUUAAAAUUUUUUUUUUUUUCCUUGAAAAGUAUAAAUCGAUCCGUAGUUGUGAAGUUUAAGUGUUUAUGAGAAUUUGUUCAUAUGAAGCAAAUAAAGUAUAAAUUUGUCAUUAAAUGCUAAUGCUUUGCGGUCUUGACAUUCUUAAACAGCUUUGGCUUUUGGUAAACUUAAAAAUGAGCCAAAAAAAGUUCAUUAUAUUAAUUAGGUCACUCCAUAAUGCCGUAAUUAAAAUUACGGUAAAUAUAUUCAAUGUUAAACAUAAAUAAUGUAAUUUAAAUGUAAGAUAUAUAAAUUUAACAUAAAAUUUAUAAAUCAACAUUAAAUGUAAAACAAAACAUUACCUAUAUAAAUAGAAUAUAAAACUUAUAAAUAAAAGGUAAAAUAAGUAAAUUAACAAGUAAACUUCUAAUUUAAUUUAAUUCUAAAAAUUAAUUCAUUUCAAUCCGACUUUUUUAAAAUAGCCCUCAUUCUUUUAAUUUAAAUUAGGACACUCUUUUAGACUUUUGAGGACAAUUUUAAAAAAAGAAAAACUACUAUGAUGGAACAUGUGUCCUAAAUCAAUUGGCCAACACCAUCACAUUAGCAUAUGAUAUGGAUGUGUUGGCAUCUGGAGGAGUAUAUUUUAUGAAAAUUCGUGUGGGACAGAAGAUGAAGAAAACUAAUAAUCCUCUCUCAUUCAUCUUAACAGCUGAAUAAAAAAACACAUUGAAAUAUUUUUCAACUCGGAAGGAUUUCAAUGUGGUGCAUCCAUGGAGAUCUGUGCAAUCAUCGGAGGAAGCCUGAAAUGAUGGAGAUCUGACUAUGCUAUCGUAGAAGGUUCCGUAUGGUCGCCAAUCUCGCGAACCAUUCCCAGCCCAGUGAUAACAAUUUCAAAAUUACAAGUCCUAUUUUACUCGCUACUUUCAUGUCUUUGUUAUUUUUUCUUUGUUGAAAUAGUUUUUGUUUUGAAUAGAGUGUUAGUUCUACUCUCAUAUUUUCGUGGACUAUAAAAUGGUAGGCUUGCAAAAUUUAGAUAAAAUGUUCUCAUCCAGAUGGUGUGACUUAUACGGUCAUGUGAUGAUUAGCUAUUAAGCCUUGUCAAUUCUCAUAUGAAUGAUGAUUUUAUAUUGUUUGUGUAAUAGUAUCACUAUCCUUUUGUUAAAUUGUUGUAAUGGAGAGAGUUUCAGUACCUUAAGAAUUUAAAUGUAGUGUGAACUGGAUCUGGAUUUAUAAAUGGUACGUUUUGACAUUGAAUUUAUUAUUCUCAACUCAAGGUUGUCCAUUGUGUUAUAGGAAAAAAGUAAGAUUGCACUUUUUGUUUUUCCCAACUCAAGGCACUUAAAGAAAUGAAGAUAAAGCUGUUUUGUUUGCAGAAAUAUUAGAGAAUAUUCCAGAUCUUUUUUUUUUAAUUGCUUAACAACAAUUUUACAAUUAAAUUAAAUUCAUGUAUGAUGCUUAAGCAUCAUUAUUAUAACUAAUUCAUAACUAACUAAAAUGAUUAAUGCAUGCUAAACUUCAUCAUAUGUACGUAACAAAUUGUAACAGACUUUAAGAACUUAUGUUGAGCUAGCAGCUGAGCUGUCACUUUGAUUUCAACCAUUUGAUGUCAUUGUUAGCCUAUAUGGCUAUAAAUAUUGAUUUUGAUGAUUACAAACCACAUGUGUUAGUUAAACAAAGAUUUAUGAAUUAUGCUUUUAUAAUAAAAAAAAUGAUUUUAUGGAAUUAAAGUUGUGGACUAAAAUGAAAGAAUCUUAUAAUCCUUGAUUUUAAUAAAUGUUGUUUUUAAUUUCGGAUUUGGACCUAUUUAAAAUUAUUUAAAUAUUUUGGGUUAUUCUAUAAUUUCAAAAAAUUUUGAGACUGACAAAAUAUUAUUUAGAAAUUCUGAAAUUGGACUUAUUUGAAAAUUUUCAUAACAUUUUAGGCUAUAAUAUAAUUUUAUAAAGUUUUGAGGCUAAACUGUAAUUUUAGAAAAUAUUUCACUGUAGUAGUUACUGUCGCAAGCGGUUAACUGGAUAUGAUAAGCAGCAUACCGGAUGUUUUGAGGCUAAACGACUAUCCGGAUUUCGUAAGCGGCAUACCGGAUGUUUUGAAAUUCAAAUUUUUAUUGUAAUGGUAACAAAAAGUGACUAACCAGAUUCUGAAAUCGGCAAGCUGGUUAUCAUCAGAAAAUAUAUAACGGCUAGUUUUUGGGCUCAAACUAUAUAAACUCAAAUUCAAUUUAUUUUCAAGCCCUCUAGCAAGAAAAAAUAAAAAGCACACGAGAUAUCUUAAGCUCUCAAUUCGUAAAUCAUAAAACAUUGAAUCAUCUCUUGUUUUUCAUUUUGAAUAUCUACUCUUUGAGAGAAUUUUGUUGUAAUUUUUAUUUCCUCAUAAAUUUGUGAGUGUGUGAGACACUUGAGUGAAGAGAUUAGGAGAUGAUCUCUUUGUUGUAAAGGUUCAUUGACACCUUGAAGUCAAUUGUAAACAUUUGAAGCCUUGGAAGGCUUGAAUAGUGAAAUCCUCAAGCUUGGAUUGCUUGGAGGCGUGGACGUAGGCGGGGAUUGCCGAACCACGUAAAAAUUCGUGUGUUUGUUUCUCUUCUCUCUUACUCAUUUGUUAUUGUGCUUUUAUUGAAUUUAUUACUUUCAAAUUUAUUAAGGCGUUAGAUUGGAUUAUUGUGUGGUUUUGUUAAGAUAAUUUUUAAAAUACCAAUUCACCCACCCCCCUCUUGGAUUGCACACUUGUAUUUCAAACAUCAGCUCCUCCUCCUCCUCCUCCUUCUUCUUCUCUAUACAGCGAGCUUACUUAUAGUCCUCCUCAAACUCAAGGGACAGGGAUGAACAUUAAGUUUGGCUGUUAAGUAGUUAACUAUAUGAAUGAAAGAGAAUAUUCCAAAUCUUUUUUUUUAUUGCUUAACAACAAAUAUCUGCAACUUGUUAUGCACUUGGUACAUAAUGAAUGCUAAGCUCUCCUACAAGAACUUUAUUGCGGAUAAAAUGGAUAUCAAUUUCAAUAUGCUUUAUCCUUGAAUGAUAAACAUGGUUCCUAGUUAGCUUAGUUGUACUAAUAUUGUCACACCAAAUUGUAGGUCUUUCUAUGCAACACAUUCCAAUCUCAGUGAAUAAGAAUUGUAACUAAAUCAAUUCUGCACUAGCUGAUGCCAAGGCUCUAUAUUCACUUUUUGUACUUGAUCGAUCUAUGACAGACUGCUUCUUAGAAGACCAUGAUAUCAUAUUGUUGCCUAGAUAGAUGCAAUAUGCACUCUUUGAUUUCUUGUCAUCCAAAUCACAUGUCCAAUCAGUAUCUGUAAGCCAGUAAACUUCAAAUUGUCUUCUUUGAUGAACUUCAAGCCAAAGUCUUAAGUGGCCUUCAAAUAUAUUAAAACCCUUUUAGAAGCCAUGAGAUGUUAUAAUGUAGGUGACUAAGCUUAUUAACUGCAAAUGCAAUUUCAACCCUUGUUAAAAUCAGAUAUUGCAUUCCCUAACAAUGCUUUUGUAGUUUGUUGGAUCUUUAAGAAAAUAAGUAAGUUUUCCUUGAACAACUUUCUGCAAUUUCAAGUCUACCCUUAUAGUCAAUCAUAUCAACCCUGGCCAAUAAAUCCUUAAUAUACUUUCUCUGUGAUAAGUACAUGUAACCUAUAUCAUACAAUACAUCAAUCCCAAGAAAAUAAGAUAGGAUUCUAAGAUCUUUUAAAGAAAAGCUUUACUAAAUGUAGCUGCAAAGCUUUCUAAUUCUACACUGCUAGUUCUUAUAAUCAAGAUAUCAUCAAUAUAGAGAAGAAUAAGGAUUAUAAAGGUUUGACUCCUUCUUAAAAACAUAGAUGUAUUAGAACUAGUGUAGAUAAAUCCUCAGUGCAGCAAGCAACUUUUAAGUUUAUUAUACCAAGCUCUAGGAGCUAAGUUGAUUCCAUAUAGAGUUUUAUGCAAUUUAUACAUAAAAUCAGGCUUUGUACUGUCAAUGAAGCCUUUUGGUUCUGACAUAUAGAACUCCUCUGUCAAUUAUCUAUUGAUAAAUGUAUUGUUGACAUCAACUUGCCUUAUUUUCCACUUAUUUAUUACUACUAAACUUAAAACUACUCUAACAGUGUUUGGUUUCACCUGUGGACUAAAAAUUUCAAAGUAGUUCACCCCUGCAACUUGUUAAAAAUCUUUAGCAACUAGCCACACUUUAUAUUUAGCCACACUUAUAUCAAUGUUGUGUUUAACUUUAUACAUCCAUUUAUUGCCAACAACCUUAAGCCUGUCGAUAGGCUAAAGACCAUAUGCCAUUAUAAAUCAAAGCAUCAUACUCAUCUUGCAUAGCUUUGAUCUAUUUGGAAUCAAUUAAAGCUUCCUAAACUAAAUUUGGUUCUUUGUGAGCAAGGACAACUGUAUAGACUUUAGCUUUAAAGAUACUUGAUUUUCUUCUAGUGGUCAUAGGAUGGAUGUUGGAGUUUAUAUGAGGUGGAGAGUGUGGCGAUGAUGAAUCAUUAUCAGAAGCAGAUAAUGGCUGAUGUGAGGUUUGAAUAGGAGCAGAAUUUGGCUAAUAUGUGUUUCGAGAUGAAGAAGUAGAGAAGGUAAUUUGCUGUGAAUGUUGAUCAGCUGCUUGUUGUGCAAGAAUAUCUAAGUGAGUUGAAAUGCUACUGUCAGAACUUGCAGAGUUAGGAUGAAUAGUGCUGUUAUUGGUAAAGUGGAGAGUGACAUAUUUUUUAAGGAGAAAAUGAAUAUUAUGAAGAAGAAGUAGAUUUAGUUGAACUAUGGAAAAUAAAUUGUAGUGGAAUAAGGAAUUGUAAAUUUAUAAAAAAUGAAAUGUCUUGCUAUAUAAAGUUGACUUGAAGGAUGUAAACAUUUAUACCCUUAUGUGAUGGAUUGUAACCAAGAAAAGUACACUUGGUAGAGUGAUAAUUAAAUUUUGUUUAUUAUUGUCUCUCAAAUAAGGAUAAUAAGUACAACUAAAACACUUGAGUAUGUCAUAGUCAGUUUUUGUUGGAAUAUUUUCUCACAUAGAGAUAAAAGGUUGAGAACAACAGAGGGCAAUCUAUUGAUAAGAUAGACAACUAUAUGGAAAUCAUCCCACUAAAACUUGAAGGGUUACUGAGAUUGAGCCAAUAAAGUGAGUCCCAUUUCAACAAUGUAUCUAUGUUUCCUUUAAACCAAUCUAUUUUGAUGAUGUGUGUGUGGACAUGAGUGUCCGAAUAUGAUAUCAGAUUGAUUCAAAAAUCAGUAAAAGAUCUUAAUGAUUAUUUGAAACUAAUUUUAAAAGAUCUUAAUGAUUGUUUGAAACUAAUUUAAACUUGCAUUUUAAAAAGUUUAAAGACAUCUAGAGCUUCUAACUUGAGCUUUAAAGGAUAAAUCUAGGUGUAUCUAGUGAAAUCUUCAACAAGACUAAUAUAAUAGUGAUAACCAUCUCUAGAAAAGGUAGGUAAGGGAACUUAAAAGUCUGUGUGAAUCAGCUCUAGAACUUUAGAAGUUUUAGUUGCAGUUGAUGGAAAAUGAAGUUUAUGAACCCUGUCCAUUUGACAAACUUCACAAGUAUAUUGUAGUGCUUGUUGUAUUUGAUUUCUAGAAAAUAAGCAAACUUAACAUUUUUUUAGAAUAUGCUUCAAAAUAUAUUCAUUUGGAUAGCCAAGUCUAGUAUGAAAUAAAGUAAUUUUAUUCACUAACGUUUUACAAGGAGAAGUAGUAGAUUGAUAACAAGACUUCAAAUCUGCAUUAUUAACAUCAGUAACAAAAUUGAAAUGACAAGAAGACUACACUGGCAAUGGCUUAUUUGAAAUGAUAUGAGAAAGAAAUGAAGAUGGUGAUGACUUAAAUGAUGAAGACGGUUUGAGUAACAGCCUGAGUAAACUUUUCUCUGCAAUGCCUUUUAAAAGCACUUCCCCUUUUAGAGAAUCCUUCAUAUCAUAGAUGUUUCCAAGAAAUUCAACAGACAAAUUAUUAUCAUAUGUAAGUUUGGAAAUGCUUAAUAAAUUUUUGGUAAUGGGAGGAACAAGUAGAAUAUCGUUCAGUGCUAUGUGUGGAUGUAUUUGUUUAAUAGUUGAGCUUUUAAAAGUAAAAAGAUGCAUCACCAGUAUGAGUUAUAGCAAACCCUGUCCAUUUCUAAUGAUAAGGUGAUAUAGCCCACUAAACUACUCUCUGAUAUGCAUAUUGGCCAUGUUAUUUGUUAAGGAUGAGUUGCUCCACUGUGAAGAUACCACUCAUCAUCAGCAAGCUUUCAAAGUUAGCAAGAUAAGCAGCUUCAGUUGCAGAGAAUGUUUCAGGUGACUAGAAAGGCAAGGAAUUCAUAUUAGAUAACUAGUAGCUAGAACCACUCGUAGCAUAAAAGUCAUGAAAAUAUGGUGCGAUUUAAGCAUAUGGCUCAAAGCUAGCCAUAUAGGCAGACUUAGAUCUUCUUCCUCUGCCAAAGUGUCUUGAUUGAGGUAUAUAAUUUUCAAUGUACUUAUGCCAAUAAGCAUUAGUUUUAUGACUAGAUUUAUGACAAAUCUGACAUCCAAGAAUGCUUUCAUCAAAUCCAUCUCUAUUAGGUAUGAAACUUUGACCAUGAGAUAUAUUGAAAGCAGGUCUGGCAUGUGAUGCUGACUUGUGAAAUUGCAUCUUUAGUGAGUGUCCUUUGCCAAAGUUAUUACCAUCAAAGGGAAAGCCUUUGGGAUAUGUAUGAUAAAACAAUCCUCUUCCAGAAUUAUGAUUAAUUCUUGUUUCCAUUAUGAAAAUGUCCCUAGUAUCUCCUAUAACCAAAGCCUCCUCUUUUACCAUUACCUCUAAUUGGAGGAUAGUUAGAGUUCACCAUUCUAUAAUCGGCAUUAAAUAUUGAUUUAGCAUUUUGAUUUUAUUGUAAUAUAGCCUUAUGCAUAAAAAACAAUGCAUAUGCAUCAUAUUAUGUCACUUUAUUAGCAAUAAUAAUAAAGCAAGAUCCAAAUAUCCAGGCCUCAGUCCAUUCAAAACUCGCAUUAAUAGAUCUCUGUCUGAUACAUGACUACUAGCACAUGCAAGUUUAUCGACAAGUAUUGUGAAUUUCAAGCAAUAUUCUUCAAUAGAUAUGGAAUUUUUUCUAAGAACAUUCAUCUCAUAACAAAAUUGCAUUAUCUUAGCUUCGAAUUGAGCUCCAAAUUGCUUCUAAAUAGACUUCCAUACAUCAUAUGAAUUAUUACAAUUAAAAACAGAGCUCAAAAUACAUUCAUUGAUGGAUGAUAAAAGCCAGCCAAGAAGAAUUUAAUCUUGAGUUCUUCAAUUGAUGUAAGCUGGAUUAUCAACCUUCUGCACCAAUCCAUCGGCUGCAGUGUGAAAGAUCUAUUGUUCUAGUACAAUUUGAUCACCAGAUAUGAAAUCUUCAAGUUGAUUCCCUCUCAUUGAAGUAAGAACCUACUUUCUUUAGAGUAAGAAAUUGAAUCGAUCAAGCUUAACUCGACCGCUAAAUGAAAAAGAGAUAUGUGAAUUUUGAUUCGUUUGUAUUAAAUUUUGAUUUGAUGUUGUACUACUUGAGCUAGCCAUUAUUGGCUCCGAUACCAUGAAAGAAAUGAAGAUGAAGUGUUUGGUUGCUAAGAAAAUAUUAGAGAAUGUUCCAGAUCUUCUCAUUUUUAUUGCUUAACAACAAAUGUUACAAUUACAUGUAAAUUAUAUACGAUGCUUAAGCAUCAUUAUUGUAAAGUAUGAGCAAAAAGUAGAAUGGGCAGAAUAAUUUUCAUUGAUAUUUGAUUGAGUAUAUAUACAUGCUAGGAUCCCUAUAAUUAAGCUAUGCAAUCAAAGUCUACUGUAAUUUAGGAAUACAUAUAGAAAGAUAUAUUUAUAGCUCAAUAUAAUGAAUAAAUGGAUUCUACUUUCCAAUACUCCCCCUCAAGUUGGAGAGUGAAUCCAGCACUCCCAACUUGGGAACCAUAGGCAUGAAAACUUCUUUUCCCAAAGCUUUGGUCAGUACAUCAGCAAGCUGAUUUGCGGAACUUACAAAUUUCGUUAUCACACAAUCUUCUUGUAUCUUGUCUCUUAUAUAAUGACAAUCCAUCUCUAUGUGCCUUGUGCGUUCAUGAAAAACUGGAUUAACUGCUAUAUGUAAUACAACCUUAUUGUCACAAUAUAGCAAUGCAGCAUCUUGAUGUAAAAUCCCAAAAUCUCUAAGUAACUAACAAAGCCAUGUCAAUUCACAAUAAGCUCCAGUCAAUGCAUGAUACUCUGCUUCGGCUGAGGAAAUGGAGACGUUUUCUGGCGCUUCGAUCUCCACAAAAUCAACGAAGGGCCCAAGAACACACAAUACCCUGUAGUAGAUCUUCUUGUAAGGGGGCAUCCUGCCCAAUUCGAGUCACAGUAUGCUCGCAACCAAAGAUCACUAAUUAAUGAGAAGAAGAAGCCUUGACCAGGAGCAGAUUUUAAAUAGCGCACAACCCGUAAGGCUGCCUCCCAAUGAUCCUUCCAGGGUUGGUGCAUAAAUCUGCUCAAUAUAUGGACAACGUACAUGAUAUCAGGCCUCGAAACUGUGAGAUAUAUUAAUCUUCCAACUAAUCGCCUAUAUCGCCAUGGAUAUUUAAGUGGCUCACUUUAUCAGACAACUUUAAGCCACGUUCCAUGGGAGUAUCAAUGGGAGCUGCCCCUAAUAACCUUGCAUCCUUAAUAAGUUCCAAUGCAUACUUUCUAUGAGAAAUAAAAAUGCCCUUCCUAGAUGCAGAAAUCUCAAUACCAAGGAAAUACUUCAAGUCUCCUAGAUUUUUAAGGUGAAAUUGAUUAUCCAAGAAUUUUUGAUAUCGGCUAUACUCACAAGAUCAUUCCCAGUGAUUAAAAUGUCGUCAACAUCUAUCAAAAGGGCAGUAAAGGACUUGCCUUGCUUCCUAGUGAACAAAGAGUAGUCAGCUUUUGAUUGUACAAAUCCAGCUGAACGUAUGGCCUCGGAGAAUUUAGCAAACCAUUGACGAGAGGCAUGUUUCAACCCAUAUAAUGACUUGUGGAGGCGACAAACCAAGUGUUCCUCCCCCUGUCGCCGAAGCCCUAGCGGCAGAGACAUGUAGAUUUCUUCUUGGAGGUCACCAUAAAGAAAGGCAUUAUUGACGUCGAGUUGAUGAAGAGACAAACCACGGGAAGCAGCUAACGCCAACAAGCAACGAACAUAAAUUAUUUUUGCUGUCGGAGAAAAAGUAUCCUGGUAGUCAACUCCCUCUAAUUGAGUGAAACCCUUGGCUACAAGCCGCGCCUUAUACCGUUCAAUAGACCCAUCAGACUUAUGUUUGAUUUGUAAACCCAACGACAACCAAUUGGAGUUUUACUAGCCAGAAGAGAGGUAAGAGACCGAGUACCAUUUUUCUGUAGUGCCUGCAAUUCAGAACGCAUUGCUGCUUGCAGCUCAGGGAGAACGACAGCUUCUGAAUAAGACCUGGGUUCUGUGAGAUUAUUGAUUUGAGCAAUAAAGGACUAAUAAGCAGGCUUAUAUCGGUGAUAUGAAAUAUAAUUAGCCAAUGGAUAUCGUGUACCUUUGGUCGGACUUGGAAUUAAGGAGGCCGAUUGGUCGGAGUAAACAUGCGAGCAGACGUAGUCGUGGAGCUUGACCAGUGGACCAGUGUUGCGGCUGGAGCGACGAAGUUCAGGUACGGGUUUGGGUGCUUGUGAUGCAGCAGGUUCAGGGAAUGAAAGAGGCGAGGACUGUGGGGCCAGAGAAGAUGGAUCAGAGAAGUUUAAUGGGGUGACAGGGAUCGAAGAAGGUGGGUCAGUUAAGACUAGUAAGGCAACAAGUUUAGGACGGCAGGAAUAAGUGCGAAGGACGGCUUAGGGAGGGGAAGAUGGUGGUUCUACCACGAGAGGAGAAGAGGAAAUUUGAUUGGGAGAAUUGGGAGAGAGUUGGGAUGAGGGAAUGGGGCUUGGUGGAAUUACGUGAGAGUUGAAUGAUGAGUCAAAGAAAGAAGGAAUUAAAGGAAUUGGGCUUGAUUGAUGGGCUGUCAAGGGAAGAGAAAAUUUGGGUUGGACGGAUGAGUAAGGAAAAAUAGUUUUGUGGAAUUUGACAUCCCGGCUGGUAAAAAUCUCUUUAGUUGAUAAAUUAAAUAAUUUGUAGCCCUUUUGAGCAAUGGGAUAACCGAUGAAUAUGGAUUGUAUGGCAUGAGAGUCGAAUUUGUGAGAAGUGUGAACAUUAGUGGCAUAGGUCAAACACCAAAAAACACGAAGAUGGAAAAAGGAAGGUGGUUUUGAAUAGAAAAGUCCGUAAGGAGUUUUGAAAGAAAUAACUGGAGAAGGUAACCUAUUGAUGAUGUGUACAGCAGUGAGUGCACAUUCGCCCCAAAAUUGGGUUGGUAGGUGUGCUUGGAAUUUUAAUACUCGAGCUACUUGUAGGAUAUGGCGAUGUUUGCGUUCCACAACCCUGUUUUGUUGAGGAGUGUAAACGCAUGAAGUUUGGAAAACAACACCAUGAUCUUGAAAGAAAGAUCGGAGUGAGAUAAAUUCUCCAUCAUUGUCACUUCGAAAUGUUUUAAUACGACGGUCAAAUUGAGUGAAAACAUGGUUGAAAAAGCGUUUUAAAAGAGAUUGUGUUUCGUUUUUGUGUCGCAUCAAAAAAAUCCAUGUGAAACGAGUAUAAUCAUCAACAAUAGUGUGGAAAUAAUAAGCUCCGGUAAGGGAAGGGUGUUGAUAACGACCCCAAAUAUCAUAAUGAAUUAUUUCAAAAGGUUUUGUAGAAGAAAUAACACUAUGAUUGAAAGGAAAACGACUUUGCUUAGCCAACGGACAUACGGGGCAAGCAUUAUUGGACUGAACAAAAAAAUUCAAAAAGUUCUUGGCAAUAAAACUUAAACGGGAAGGUGAUACAUGACCUAAGCGAUUAUGCUAGACGUCGGUGGAUGAGAUGGUGAGAUUGCAGGCUGGUCGAUUUUUUGGUGAGGAAGGUUUUGUCACAGAUUGCUUCGUCGCUAAUGCCACAAAAAAAUAUAGCCCAUCUCGUUGUUUACCCAAACCAAUCUUCCUCCUAGUAGCCAGAUCCUGCAAAAUACACUAAGAAGGGAAAAACAUUACUGAACAACCCAAACCUCUUGUCAAACGACUAACUAACAUUAAAUCAACUUUAAAUGUAGGCACAGAUAACACAUUAUGUAGAUAAUAGACGGAAUUGAGAGGUAAAGAACCUUUUUGCAACAAUAUUUGCUCUUUCUCCACUAGGCAACAACACGGGCGGUAAUGAGCAAUUGUUAACUUUAUGCAAUAAAUUAAAUGAUGAAGUAAUAUGAUCUAUCGCCCCGCUAUCAAUAAUCCAAUUUCGGGAAACAAUCUUAGACAAACCUAGCUUUGUUACCGUAUUUGCUUUGGAGUGAGAACUUCAUUUUGAUUAUUCAGGAGUGACAAAAGUUGCUUAAGUUGAGCAUCGGAUAUUGUAAGUGAGCCUUCAUUUGUGUUUGAGCCCUCUCCAACUUAAUUAGCCACAGAAAUACCUUUAUGCCGAUUUGAAUUUUGGCCUGAGUUUAUUUUAGCUUUAGGAUGGCCUGGUGGGUAUCCAUGCAGCUUAUAACAUUUCUGGAUCCAAUGGCCGAAAUUUCCACAUUGGUCACACAAAGGCCUACCUCUCUUAGAGCCAGAUCAACGCCGAUCUCCAUCUUGAGGUCCUGCAAGUUCCGGUGCUUGAGAAUAUGUUCGAUCGCGAGAAUCUGGGAACCCAUGAGAGCGAGUUUGUUCAGUUUUUCCUGUUGCUGAAGGAGUCGGCUUGCUAUGUACAGCCAUGACAGCAGCGCUGCUGCUUGAAUCAGUGUUCGUAUUCACUGAACUAAGGAGGCGUUGUUUCUCUUCUUGGGAGAUUGAAGAGUAGGCUUGGCGAAUAGAAGGCAAAUGAUUCAUGAGCAGGAUUUGACCUCGAAUUGCACUAUAAGUUUCGUUAGACCCAUUAGAAACUGCAUCAAUUUCUGUCGAUCGGCUUGUGCUAUGUCUGAAUGUGUUGCCAAUUCAUCCCAUAAACUUUUCAACUUAGUGUAGUAAGCUGAGACAGAGAGUUGGUCUUGUCAAAGAGAAGCAAUAUCUCGUUGUAUCUCGAAGAUGCGAGUUGCAUUGCCUUGAGAGAAAUGCUCAUAGAGAUCUUCCCAAACCUCAUGAGCAAUAGGAUAAUAAGUCACACUGUGAGCUAUUUCUAGAUUGCAAGAAUUGACGAUCCAGGAAUGAACCAUAUCAUUGCAUCUCGACCAAAUCGCAUAGCCUUCGGGAUCGGUUUCUUCUGAAGGAACUUUGAUAGAACCAUUGACAAAUCCAAGCUUGUUCUUGGAGUUUAAAGCUUGAACCAUAGCCCUUUUCCAACCAAAAUAAUUAUCUCCAUUUAGAGGUUUGGAGAUGAGAAUCAAUUCAGGGUUAUCCGAAUGGUGAGUGAAGAAGGGAUUAAAGAGAUCUGCCUUGGAGAAAUAUGUAGAAAUCUCUGAUUUUUGCGGAUCAGAACUGCUGGUUUUUGGAAUAUCUUCAAGGGCCAUGAUGGCUGAAAGAGAGAUGCUACAUGAGAGAUUAAAGUGUAGCAAGUCCUUGCUCUGAUACCAUGUAAAGUAUGAGAGAAAAGUAGAAUGGGCAGAAUAAUUUUCAUUAAUAUUUGAUUGAGUAUAUAUACAUGCUAAGAUCCCUAUAAUUAAGCUAUGCAAUUGAAAUCUACUGUAAUUUAGGAAUACAUAUAGAAAGAUGUAUUUACAGCUCAAUAUAAUGAAUAAAUGGAUUCUACUUUCCAAUAAUUAUUGUGACUAAUCCAUAACUAACUAUAAUGAUUAACGCAUGCUAAACUUCAGCACAAUGUGCAUAACAAAUUGUAACAGACUUUAACAACUUAUGCUGAGUUGGCAGCUGAGCUGUCACUUUGCUUACAACCAUCUGACGACAUCAGCUUCUCCUUCUCCUUCUUCUUCUUCUCUGUAUAGUGAGCUUCCUUAACAGACACCAAGGUUAGUAGUACAUUGAGAGAUAACAUCAAGAGAUAAUUGAAGAGAUGCCUGAGGAUAGAGGGAAGACCAACUAAAAAAGAGGGAUCUUGUUGAGCAUACCAUUAGUCCAUUACUUUGUGACUUUAAAGAGCUUGAUGAGGAGACUCUCACUUCUUCCUUUCUAUUUCUAUCACAAAGGACCAAUCAUGAAGGUGGUAGUGAUCAAUGUCGACUUAAAAGCAAAGGAGCUUGCUGGUGUUAUAUGUUUUUUUUUUUUAAUGUAUUUGUAUCAUUGGAUAUAUUUUUUUUGUAACUAUAAAAGCAAGCCAAAAGUUAGCAAACACAUUUUUCAUGUACGAUAUUUUAUGUAAGGUCGUCACCACCAAGCUCAUUUUGCCCUCCUGCUAGUGCAAAAAAAUUCUUGCAUUAACAAGCAAGAUUCUCUAGCUUAUACAUUCUAUACGUAGAAAAUGUUAAAAUUCUUUUGAGGAAAAGAAGACGCUGCAAAUUCUUCAAAGAAAAACACUGUAUUAUGUUUUGCGUGCACGCACUCGCACAACAUAAAGCGAACUCAUUCUAUAAUUAUAGUAAUAAAAUUUAAAAAUUACGGUUUUGAAGUGAUUGUAAAAAUAUUUAUAUAGGUCAGUCCGACCAUUUCUACCCACCAAGAUGGUUGGUUAAUCAUUGAUGUUGUGACACUUGAUAGAGCAGGAAGUACUAUAAAUUUUUAAUAUUAAAUUUUGAUGGUCGUACGUUCGACCCGAUUGCGAUCGCUCAAUAAUACUCACUGGUGAUCCCAUAACGGUACUUAUCGAGAGUAGUACGACUAACAUUUAAAAGUUUUUCUGGAAUUGCGAUGCUCAUGUGCCAACAAAUGCCACAAAACAAUUGGCAAACACGACCAAAUCAGCGGGUGAUGUGGUGGUAUUGGCACCACAGUAAUUAUAUUAUCUCUACCAACGUGUCGCCGCCAGAAUGAAGAGAAUACGAGGAAUACCAACAAAUAUUCUAUCACCCCUGUACAAGCACACACAGAAACACUCCAUUUAUUCCUGUUUUGACUGUUUUGUUGAGAGGGAAGAUGGAGACAACUAAUAUCGAAUAAUCCUCUCUCGCGCAGUCACUCUCAACUGAACAUUUCUCUAUGUACGGACACUUCAAAAGAAAUUGAAAUGUUUCUCAAAUUGGGAGAUUUCGAUGGGAACCGGUGGAGACCUAAACAGCUGUGGGAGCAAGCCUUGAAUCGAUGGAGAUCUGCCUGCGCUGCAGUCAAGAACCGCCGUGGAAGAUUCCGCGUGGUUGUACAAACAAAUAAGCUGCUGUUCUUUGUGUUGUUAUUUAAUCUCUCUGCUUCAGCUUAUGAUAUUCCGUUUCUUUAUGUCUUCUUGGCUGCUUCUUUUUCUUCUUGGUUGCUUGACUUUAAGGCCUCUUUGAAGUUCUACCUCGUUUGGUCUUUCUUUUUCCUCUUGGUCCUGCUUUUGUUCUUUAAUUCUUUUGCUGCCUUGGGUUUAUCGAAUUGAAUUCUUGUUGCUGCUUUUCUCUGCCUUGUUGCCUCCUUGUUGCCCCCCCCCCCCCACCGGUCGCCCUCAUAAUCUUGCCCCUUUUAUAGAUAAUUUUGUGCUUAUCUAUUACAGGUGUCAAUACAAGUUACACAUGCCCAACACCUUGACUCUCCAGCACACUAGACUUAUGUUCUUUUAUUGUCCAACACGUUGCCACUUCAGCACACUAGGCUUAUACUUAAUUAAUUCAUUAACAGUUGCCAAUCUCGCGCGGAGACAAGGGAUAACAAGCUCAAAAUGCAAGUUCUAUUUUACUCGCACUUUCAUUCCUUUAUUAUCUUCUUUUGUUGAAACAAUUUUUGUUUGAACUGAGGGUUAAUCCAACUCUCAUAUUUUCGUUAACUAUAAUGAUAGGCUUACAAAGCUGGAUACAAAGUCUGUAUCCCAGAUGAUGUGACUUUAUCUUGUGUGGUCAUGUGAUGAUUAGUUAUUAAGCCUUAUCACUUCUCAUCCGAAUGGUGAUUUUGUGUUGUUUCUGUUGGGGUACGAACUUUGUGAGUUUUGUUAAAUUGGUGUAAUGUAGAGAGUUUCAGUACCUUAAGAAUUUAAAGGGAGUGUGAACUGAAUUGAUAAAUGGUACAAAAUGAUUUUGACAUUGAAAUUAGUAUACCAAACUCAAGGCUGUCUGUUGUGUUACAGGAAAAAGUAGGAAUUGCGCUUUAUGUUCAAAAAGCUGCAUUGCAGUUGAUUGAUGAUGUGCCAUAAAGUGAAUACGUUGUGACCCACGUUCCAUAUUAUUUUCAAAAAGCUGCACUUAAUUUUACUAGAUCAUAUGACGAUGUGCCAUCAAGUGAAUACUAUGUGAAUGAGCCUGCCAAAGCUAGCAGAUUUCAAGAAUUUGUUGAUGACAUAGGAUCCACCAUUGAAGGCCAUGGUUUAAGGAUAGUCGAGCAUACAAACGCGGUCUUUUCCCGCCAUGUAGGGAAUCCAUUAACUUAUCCUGAAUUGAAGGCAACAUGCUUUGGGGUAUAUCUACAAAGUCAUCUUGUGUUGGAAGCAUCUUCAUCUAUGUGGAAUAUAUUUAGUAAUUCUUGUUCGGGUUCGCAUUGGUAUGACAUAAAUUUCAAUAUUAUAUGUCAUUACGUGAAUAUAUUGUGACCAAGGCUUCCAAAGUUAGAAGAAUUCAAGAUUUUGCUGAUGAUGUAGGAAGAAUUCAAGAUUGUGCUGAUGAUGUAGAAUAUGUUCCACACAAUGAUGAUGAUGAUGAUGAUGAUGAUUCUAAAGAUCAUCCAAUUAGCGUAAAUAUGGAACCGGUUUAUAUUGUUUCUCCGAAUGGGAAAUUUAGAAGAAGAUUGCUUUCAUGGCAAAAUGGUGAGCUUUUGGGAAGUGGGUCAUUUGGAUCUGUGUAUGAAGGCCUCGCUGAGUAAGUGAAAUCUGUUCCUGUGUUGAUAUACUUGCAACUCGUGAACAGGAGUUUUAUUGUUUUGAUUGUAUUUUAAUAUCCAUUUGAUUACAUAGCCUUAUUGAUAUGUACCUGCUGAAAGUUUUUAAUAAGUUAAAAGGAUGUACAAUGUCGGAUUGGAAGGAAGUUUCUAGGAAUUUAUUGAAUACUUUUUCUGCUUUCUGAACGAUUCUACAGGAAAAGUGAUAGACUUAACGAUGAGACCUCAAUGGGUUUUGGGUGUGCUACUUGUAAAUCUACUCGUCUUAUUUCUCAAGAUAAUCAUGCUAGACGAAUUCAAUUUUGUUUUUGAGGCAGGGAAAGUUGAUGAUGAGCUAGAUUGGAUAUUCUUUUCCGUAUUCUUACUUGAAACAAUGGCCUUUUGCAACUAUUUUACCAUUUACUUCUAAAUAUUUUUUAUAUUUUGAGGUGUAUUUUAUUUGUUUUGCUAUGCAUCCAUCUUGAAAGUGGUUAGGAUUAUAUUUAUACGGUCAGAUUAACUUGGCCUUGCUUUACUAUCUUUGAUAUGCAUGUUCAUGUGCACGCAUCCAUGAGCAUAUGCUUAUUUUUUAGCAAUUUCUGUCAUGCUUUCUGGUUUGUUUGUAGUGAUUUAUUCUUUUUUGCUGUGAAGGAGAUUUAUUUGCAGGAUCAAGGAACUCAGGGAAAACAGAGCAUUCUUCAAAUUAAGCAGGUGGUAUGAUUUCUCUAGUCCUGCUGGAAGUCCAGUACGGUACAUAUUGUUCUGUAGUUUUUUCUCUCCUUUAAAUUACAAAUAUGCAGUUGCUUAUUUUUAUUCUGCCUCUAAAUAGCUACAGGAUAAGAUCAUUUUUCUAAUAAUCUGUUUGAUAACCUACAUAUCGACAUGGUUGCUGUGUGGUUUGGUUCUAUAUCCAUUAGGAAUAAUUCUUUUAGAGCUUGUGUCAGUGUUCUUUAUUUUGCAUGCGUCAUUUGUUCGCAGGUGUGGCCAAGCCAGUUGCUAGUACCUUUAAGAAGAGCUUUGACAUGAGAAACACGCUGUGUUAGUACAAUGCUAAGCAUCUUUUUUCUGUUGAAUCUGCCUGCCUGGCAAUUCUUGGCACUGAAAACAGAGAUGGUGCAUUCUAGGUGAAUAUGCACAAGGCACAACUGCUCAUGAUGCAAAAUCUGAGAAACUGAGAUGGUGCACACAUUCUUUCAUUGCUCAUCGACCUCCUGCGGACAGACCAGUGGCAUUUAAAUUGCUAGGUUUCCUUCCCUUCUUGUGGGCUAGGUUUUUUCUGUUACAGUUUUCUUUUCUUUGGCAGAGUGUUUGACAUCAAUUUGGUGUAAAUAACUCUUUUUCAAAAAGUAAAAAUCGGUACUUGUGAACUUUAUGUGUUGCAUUUUAUGGACCGCUCAAAAGGUAAACUCUGC
Molecule: long non-coding RNA, 46923 nt
Filed under: Citrus maxima (pomelo)
Lineage: Eukaryota; Viridiplantae; Streptophyta; Magnoliopsida; Sapindales; Rutaceae
Description: long non-coding RNA (CMAX_LNC001719)
Source: RNAcentral